This 50027-nucleotide long non-coding RNA is filed under the name Populus tremula. Its description in RNAcentral is "long non-coding RNA (PTRE_LNC001922)". The record is from RNAcentral. Lineage: Eukaryota; Viridiplantae; Streptophyta; Magnoliopsida; Malpighiales; Salicaceae.
UUUGUGUUUCAGAAGAUUUCAGUGUUUUGAAGUUAACCAAGGUUAUCCUUGAGGCGUUCGGUUCAAAGCCUGAUUCUGAUAGACUGGAUAAGCUCCAGCUUCAGUUGAAGAAGAGAUUGGAGGGAAAUGAAUUCUUGCUUGUUUUAGAUGACGUUUGGAAUGAAGAUUAUGAUGAAUGGGAUAGGUUUCUUACCCCCCUGAAGUUCGGAGCACAAGGGAGUAAGAUUCUUGUCACAACACGCAAUGAAAGUGUAGCAUCAGUCAUGAGAACUGUUCCAACUCAUCAUCUAAAAGAAUUGACGGAAGACAGCUGCUGGUCUGUGUUCGCCAAACAUGCAUUUCGUGGUGAAAAUCCCAAUGAUUAUGAAGAGUUGCUAGAGAUUGGCAAAGCUAUAGCAAGAAAGUGUAAAGGCCUUCCUCUAGCUGCAAAAACACUCGGAGGUCAACUACGCACCCAAAGAGAUGCCGAGGAGUGGGAGAAGUUAUUGGAAAGCAAUCUAUGGGAUUUACCCAAUGAAGGUAUCCUCCACAUCUGAAGCAAUGUUUUGCUUAUUGUGCCAUAUUUCCAAAAGACUAUUCAUUUAAAAAGGAUGAAUUGGUUCUCUUUUGGAUGGCAGAGGGCUUCUUAGACCCCUCUGCAGUAGAUGAUGAGAUGGAAAAAGCAGGUGCUAUGUGCUUUGAUGAUCUCUUGUCAAGGUCCUUUUUCCAGCAAUCAAGUGUCUCUCGCUCAUCAUUUGUGAUGCACGAUCUCAUGCAUGACUUGGCUACCCAUGUGUCCGGUCAAUUUUGCUUCAGCUCCAGGUUGGGGGAAAAUAAUUCUUCCAAGGCCACCAGAAGGACUCGACAUUUAUCACAUACGGGAGCCGGUUUUCGCAGCACAAAAUUGGAAAACAUCCGUGAAGCCCAACUUAUACGCACAUUCCAAAAUUGGCAUCAUUUUCCUGGUUGGUACUAUAAAGAGAUCUUUCAUAUAUUGCCAACACUUGGGCGCCUACGUGUGCUAUCCUUGUCUGUCCAUCCCGGUGCAGCUAAGAUGCUUUGUUCAAUUAGCAAGUUGAAGCAUUUGCGGUAUUUGGAUCUCUCGUCGUCAGAAUAUUUAGUAACGUUGCCUGAAGAAGUGAGUGCUCUUCUCAAUUUGCAAACGUUGAUCUUGAAAAAGUGCCAACAACUUGCUAGUCUACCUGAUCUUGGAAAUUUGAAGCAUUUACGACAUCUGAAUCUUGAAGGAGCAGGAAUCAAAAGGUUGCCUGCAUCUCUGGUAAGGUUAAUCAACUUGCGGUAUCUUAACAUCUCAUGGACGAAUUCUUUGAAAGAGAUGCCACCACAUAUAGGUCAACUUGCAAAGCUCCAAACGUUGACUUUAUUUCUCGUGGGAAGACAAAGUGAGAAUAGCAUUAAAGAAUUGGGAAAGCUACGACAUCUACGGGGAAAACUUCAUAUUGAGAACCUUGAAAAUGUGGUGGAUGCUCGGGAUGCUGCUGAGGCAAAUUUGAAAUGUAAAAAGCUUGAUCAUCUGAUCUUUAGCUGGAAUGGUAAGACUCAUGACCCGCAACACGUAACAAGCACACUUGAGAAAUUAGAGCCAAAUAGAAAGGUGAAGGAUCUUCAGAUUUACUGUUAUGGAGGUGUAAGGUUUCCGGAGUGGGUAGGAGACUCCUCUUUCUCAAAUAUAGUGUCCUUGAUGCUCUAUGGAUGUACAAACUGCACCUCCUUACCACCGCUCGGACAAUUAGCUUCUUUAGAGGAUCUCUCCAUUAAUGAAUUCCACAAAGUUGAGACUGUGGGCUCCGAGUUCUAUGGGAAUCGUACCGCUGUGAAGAAGCCAUUUGAAUCCCUCAAAAAAUUAUGUUUUGUAAGGAUGGCAGUGUGGCGCGAGUGGAUUUCAGACGAAGGCAGCCGGGAAGCCUUCCCUCUUCUUGAUGAGCUUACAAUCGUGGAAUGCCCCAACCUUGCAAAGGUCCUACCUAGUCACCACCUUCCAUGUGUAACAAGACUUGAAAUUAGAGCAUGUGAGCGGCUCGCGGCCCCAUUUCCCAGGUUUCAUAGGUUGCAAUCCCUCGAUGUUUCUGUAAACCGCGACUGGCCACCUUCUAAGCAAAUGGGCUGGGCUGCUCUCAAAUGCUUCGCCCUGGACUUGGUCCCCAACUUAAAUUCUCUUUCUAUCUCUUCCUGUCCAGAUCUGGAAUCACUAUGUGCACAUGAAAGACCUCUCAACGAUCUCACCUCUCUCCAUUCUUUGUCUAUCUGGGGGUGCCCUAAAUUAGUUUCAUUUCCCAAAGGAGGGUUACCUGCUCCAGUCUUGACACGACUUGUGUUAAAUCAUUGCAACAACCUGAAGCAGUUGCCUGAGAGUAUGCAUUCCCUCCUACCAUCCCUUAACCACUUGGAAAUAAGAGGUUGUUUAGAAGUUGAGUUGUGUCCAGAAGGGGGUUUUCCCUCCACAUUACAAUCACUUGUGAUUAGUAAUAGCAACAAACUCAUUGCAGGCCGCAUGCAAUGGGGCUUGCAAACGCUCCCUUCUCUUUCACGCUUUGUUAUUGGUGGCCAUGAAAAUAUUGAAUCCUUCCCUGAAGAGAUGCUUCUGCCCUCAAGUCUUACAUCUCUCAGCAUCAUUGGCCUAAAACACCUGAAAUCUCUUGACUACAAGGGGCUUCAACACCUCACCUCUCUUACAUCAUUGAGAAUAAUUAUCUGCCCUCUGAUUGAGUCAAUGCCAGAAGAAGGGUUGCCCUCCUCCCUUUUUAUUCUUGAUAUUUACUAUUGUCCAAUGCUGGGUGAAAGUUGUGAAAGGGAGAAAGGUAAAGAUUGGCCCAAGAUUUCUCACAUUCCUUACAUAGACAUCAGCACAGCAAAGAAGUAGCAGUUAAAAGGAGCUUUUCUUUCGAUCAAAGGCAACAUAUUUUUUUGAGGUAUUGCUACUAAAUAGUUUAUUUUCUUUUCUGUAAUCAAAGGCAAUUUCAGUUAAAAUUUGGAUGAAUGAAGUACAGAUAUUGUCCAUUUUGUAUUGUUUUUAUUUGUUGGAUGUUGAAAUACAGAUAAUUUCUUCCAUAAAUAAUAAUCAUCAUUCUGUUUCAAUAUAUCGAGCUGGAGGAUCAUCACAUGCUUCAGAUUUUGAACUGCCAGCACUAGUAAUUAUAAAUCCAUUGUUAAAAAGGAUUAAAAAAAUUAAAUUAUGUAAGUAAUUUGCAACGGAUUUUUCAUUAUUCACGUGCUUGGCAACAUCAAAUCUGCAACUGAUUCCAAAGAUAAAUCAAACCCUUAAUUAUAUAAAAUCCCCAUCCUUUCUCCUUUUCUCUUUUCCCGCAUCUUCAAAAAUUAAAAAAAAUAAAAUUCUCCAUCUCUUUCUCUAGUCUCUUCCCUUCUCCAAAAAUUCAAAAUUCAAAAACUUUUUUUAUCUUUUAUUUAUUAUUUAACUUUGAUUAGAUUGUUUUUAUUCCAUAUAAAGCAGAAGUUAAAAAAUGAUUUUGGAGUGCAUGUAAGUCAUAUCAUUUUUGGAGUGUACUUUGAUAAAAAAACAGACAUAAAGAGAGAAGAAAUAAAAUUCAUGACUCUUUAUCUUGCCCAAAAUAACAGCGAGGGCUCAUGGAUGCUGCACCAGGGUAAAGCUACAAAUGCCAACGCUGAUGAAGAGUUACAAGAAAUUGGUAGAGCAAUAGUGAGGAUUGUCUGAUGUUCAUCUAUAAUAGCAGCAGAUAAAUAAUUGUAGCUGAAGAAAAGAAUGGUGUGCGAGAGCAAUUUCAUAGAAAUGAAACUGCUUUUAUUGGACGUGAAACUUCUUGCCUCCAAUAUUUGUGUUUUGAUCUUCUAGCCUUUUGGUGUUCUAUGGCUUUGUUGCUGCCUUUUAGUCUUUUGGUGUUCCACGGUGCUGCUGCUUUUUGGCUCUUGAUUUAAUGGAAAUGCUGUCCUUGUAUCGUUUGGGUUUUGGCAUCGUUGGCUCCUGCCGUUGUCUGUUCUCCGGUCAUCGAAGCUGACAGCAAUCCUCCGACUCUGUUAUUGCAGUCAGAUGCUUCCUCAGUUUUAUCCUUUGGUCAUUUUCAAAAUCAGAUACUCCUGUAAAUAUUACAAAACAACUGUGACACUGCUUUUACUAUAUCUUAAUAGCUAUUUUUUCUUGGGAUAUUUAAUUUAAUUUACAAUAAAUUCUGGUUAAUUUACAAUAAGUUUAUAUAGCUUGAAAGUGAAGCUCAUCUUCUAUUUAGUUUUCUUAAAUAUAUAAUUUUAAAUUAAAUUACUUUUAAAAUAAUUUUGAGUAUAUCUUACAUGUUUAAACAUUAACUUUGUUGGAUGGAUGCAUUUUUUAUUGUAAAAAAAAAAACUUCAAAAAAAAAUUUUCUAACAAAAAAAAUGUUUUUUUAGAAAAAAUAUGAUUAAAAAACGUUUUAAAAACUCAUGGUCUAAAAUGGACAUUACUGAAAAGCUACUUUUUUCCAAGUAUUACAUAGGCAAGUAUGCGUAUAUGUUUAGGGUGAUAGGUAUGGGUCGAGUAGUAGCAAAAUAUUUUUUAAUGGUAAAACAUGAGAUAGGCUCAUUCACCUCUUUACCGGUCUUUAUUUCUUAAUAAAUUUUAUCCAAAUAUUUUUUUUAAAUGGAUAAAAUGGAUUAUAAUAUUUGUAAUGGAUAAUGACUGUUAAAAAAAAAAUUAAACUCAAAUUAUAAUUUUGCAAAUUUUAGUAUUUAAAAUAAAAUAAUUCAUAAGUGGUGAUUAAAGAGGUUACUAUCUUGGGUAACAUUCAAAUUCCAUCUAUGGGUGUUCUCUGAAAACUUGGCAAAUCCUCGCAAUCGUUGUUCUCUGAAAUCUGUAAAGAACGUUGUAGGAGUUCUAAAUCCUAGCACCCACCCAGCAUUGUUUUGAAGAAGUAUACCUUCUUUACUUGUUCUUUACCCUUUUUUAUGUUUGUAAUUCUUAUAUACAAGCAUUUGCUUUGAUUUUUUUGUCAGGAAAGUAUUAUGUAAACUAGAUUCAUUAUUUCUAAUUUGUAAGAGAAUAUAUGAUCAUAUUUAAAUACAUUAACAAAUUAAUUUCCUCAUUUCUCUUAAUUUUUAAGAAAAUCUUUCUUCUAUUAUAAUUAUAGUUAUUGUUUUUUUAAAUCUAAAAUCAAUGUCAUGGUUAAAUAGAAUGGUAUGUUAUCCUUAUUUUUAUUAAAUUAAAUUAAAAUAAAAAACUAAAUUUCUUAAACAAAUUACUGUUUACUAUGACCAUGAUAAAGUUGUUCUUUAACCGCUAAACCUUUUAACCCUUUAUGAUUUUUUAAUUUACAAAUUGUUUUCAAAUUAAGGAAAUUCUUAAGAAAAUCUAUCAUAUUAUAUAUAUUUUUUAAUAUCACCCCUUUAAUUUUUUAAUCGUUUAAAUUUAAUCUUUAUUAUUUUUCAUUGCUUUUUGUUUUUACAAUUUUAUUUUCCUUGGGUUUUUUUUCUAUGAAAUGGUAUCCUUAUUUUUUUUGUUGCUAUAUCUUUUAUUUUUGCAAGUUUUUUUAUUGAACCCGGGUCUAGAAUUACACGAGUUGCCAGUUUUAGAGUUUGACCAAGUUUAGUAGGUUUAUCCGACUUUACUUGGUUUUUUUUUUCUUUCUUGAGCUGAUUUUUUUUAUUUUUUUAUAGUUUUGCUUUGUUAUUUUUAACAGCUUAUCUUUUAUAAAGUUAGCCCUGAGUUUAUGACUAGAAUCAUCGGUUUCAAUGGGUUAACAUGAGAUGAUUUUAAAUUUUUUUAAUUAAUUUAUUUCAAUUUCAUCAUUCUUUUUUUUUUAUAUUUUUUUUUUCUAUGAGACUAUCUCAAUCUUAUAUUCAUGGUUGCGAAGUUGAUGAGUUUACCUGGUUUAAUAGAGUUUUUUAUAGUUUCACCUUUUGUUAGAUAAUUCGGAGGGCUCAAUUCUGUUUUUUUUUUAGUUUUUUUGUCAUUGUUAUUUUUUUAAUUAAUUUAUUGUAGUUGUAUUUUUUAUAUAUAUUUUGAACCAAUUAGUUGUAUCUCAGUUUUUUUUUAAUGUAAUAUUAUUUUUUUAAGUUAAAAAAAUACUUCCUCUCGCAGUGGAGCACGGACACAUGUUCCAGGGUACAUUUUAUAAGAUAUGAUCCGAGGAUACGAUGUAGAUUUUGUUAAGGAGGUUGUGUAUUAAUUUGUUAAUAUGCAUACUGCCUACUUGUGGAACUGAGUUGCAUAGCUGAGUGGUACUUGCAGGUUCAAAUGGUUUGAAGAUUCUGAAACAUUAUUAAUUUGUGCUCAAACUCUUUGCAUUUCAGCAUCCUCUACUGGUUGGUGCAGGCCUUAACUAAACGAAAAGGUGAUUUUAUUGUAUCUCUUUUUAUAAAAUAUUAUUUUUUUAAACAGUUAUAUCCUUUAAAAUUAUAUUUAUUAAGAAUUGAAUUUUAUAACUUUUAUAAUUUAUUUAUUUACUUUAUCAAACUUCUGCUGCAUGAUCACAUGAUUCACAUCACGUGAAAAGCUUGGCAUUUAGUGAUGUUUUUCCAAUCAAACCCCCUUUUUUCAAAGAUGGAAUCUCGAGGUAAAUAAAUCAAAGACAAAACCGAGUAAAAUGGAGUCCUGAGCAUAACAAGGGCCGAGAGAGAAAAGGCUUUUGCGAGUUCUGUGUUUUGUAUACUUCUCAAGGGGAAAAAAUAAUGUUUUGUUAGAGAAUUGUUUUUGAUAGAAUUGUUAGAGAUCUUAGCCGAUGCAUCUGGAUUAUAAUUUUUUAGCAUUUAUACUAUUUUAUAGCGCUAAUAUCUUAAAAAACUUAUUUUCUAGCUUUUUUUUCAUGGUAUAAUGAAAUAUUAAAAAAUAUUCUUCAACUCAUUAUCCUUAUUACAAUUAAAUUUCAUAGAAUAGUCUAUUUGUUUAGAAAUAUAGUUUACUGUAUGAUUUAUUUGAUACAAAAAAUUCACUAGAAACUAAAAAAAGAAGAAGCUAAUCAUCAUUUAAAAAUAUAGAAUAUUGGAAUCAUCUUGCUCAAUAGGUGAGUUUGGGAGUUUGGUUGCUUAACAGGUGAGUGAAGGUUAAAUGUACCCAAUUAAAUCAUAUCUACAUUCAAUUAAAACUUAUGGUAUAAUUACUUGAUAGCAAAAUAAAGAAAAGUAGGAACCUGUAACAUCUAAGAAAUUUCUAUGCUCUUAAAAUUAAGCGUCCAAACUAAGGCUAUAAUGAGUCUUGAAUCUACACAGAAGAAAUUUCAUGGGAAAUGUAAUUUCAAAGACCAUGACUCAAAUCAGCGGCUAAAAUCCAAUCACUCAAGGGAUGGUGACAUGUUGCCUUGAGUGGGAGACAGCUGGUCUCUAGUACGAAGAGAAACAACAAUAUAAUUUUUUUUUUAUUAAAAGUGAGUGUAUGAGCUUCCAUGUAUUUUAAUUUAUUUUAUUAAUUUUAAAAUUAAUAAUUAUAUAAAUUUUUAGUAAUUCUAAAAAGAUUUGAAUUCAUAAUUAUUAAAAUAUAAAUAUAAAACCUAAUCAAUUAGUACCCCCACAGCAGUGUUUUCAUUGUUUAAAAUGGAGUGUUUGUUUUUCUUAGAGCUCGUUUGGGUACGCGUUUGCGUUCGCGUUUCUUCGAAAACGCAUGACAAUGCUGUUUGGUUACAGAUCGUUGAACAAUUAAAAUACAUGGGCCCCACCAUUUACCUGCGGCUGGAACACAAUUUUUUAAAAGCAGCAAGAUACUGCUUUUUUACGAGUUUCAACAAUAUUCACCAGCGAAUUGCACUGUUCACGUGACUUUCUUUCUUCUUCUUUUUUUAACAGUUUUUUUUUAUAAUUUUUUUUUUAAAAAAAAGUAGUUUAGAGUGAAUUAAAUUUACUUACAUUGUGAUGUGAGCAAUAUUUUUUUUCCCUGAAAAACUAGUAUAAAAUGAAUUAAAUUCACUCAAUUUUAUACCUGAUAAUGUUUUAUCUAAUUUUAUUACACGCUCACAAAAUUAUAAAAACUGUAGUUCUUAUUGGCUGAAUUUUAUACAUAUUGGAAUUAUAAAUAAUUUAAUGGAAUAAUAAAAAAUAUUUUAUAUAAAGUAUUAUUUAUUUCAUAAUGUAAUAGGAGUAGUUAAUUCUACAAUAUUUAAAUUUAAAACCAUCAAUAUUAAUAUAUAUUUUUUAAAAUUAUUUUAUAACCUCAAUUUCAAAAGCAUUAUUAACUAAACACAUUAAACUACUUUUUCUUCAACCUCAAUUUCAACCACAAUUUUAACCAAACAUCUAUUUUUUUAAACCAACCUCAACUAAAAGUACUUUUUAUAAAACAACUUUUUUCAAACCACAACCACAACAGCUACCGCAAUACCAAACAGACUCUUAGUGUUUUUGUUCUUGUCAUAGCUCAUGAUGGCGGGGGCUUAAAAAACAUUUAAAGAAAUUAUUUUUUCUUGUGAUUUAUUUGAUUUAAAUAAGUAUUUAAUUAAAAUUAUAAUUAAAAAUGUUGUUUAAUAAAAAAUAUUUUAAAAUAUUUAAUUAAAAUUAUAAUUAAAGAUAUAUUGUAACUAGAAUUACUAUAAAAAAAGAUCCUAGUGAAGGUGGAGAGGAUGAGAAUAAUGAUUGGAUAUCUUAAUAAUUGUAAAAAGAAAGUAUCUUUUUAUGGUGAAGUUAUCGGUAGAUGAGAAAAUACUGAGUUUUGUAGCUCAGAAAAAAACGUCAUUCAACUAAUAAAAUGAUCCAUCUACAUAAUAAUAAUAAAAAAAACCCGCCAUUCCCACGUGUGGAAGAUAAAAUUAAUCAACCUAAUCUUAUUGGAUUACAUUUUAUUAUUUAUAUCAAACAAUCAGUAUCCUUAAUACUGAUUAAGGAUAUUUUUGUUUUUGCACAACUAUACAUUUUAAUAUAAUAAUUUUUUUAAUCUAAUUUUUUAUUAUUAUUAUUUUAGUAUCAUUUUGUUAUUUCUAACAGUUUGCGUUUACAAGGUUAGUCUUGAAUUAUGACUAGAAUCAUCAAUUCUAAAUAGGAAUGUAAGUUGAUUUUUAUUAUUUUUUAAAAUUAAUUUAUUUAAAUUUUAUCAUUAAAUUUUUUUUUUCAUGAUUUCUUUUUAAGAGACUAACCCUUUAUCGACAAACACUAAUGUACUCUGAAAAACAUAAUCCUAUUGCAUCUUACGCUUUAAAUUCCAACAAGGAGUAGGAACCCUGCAUCUGGGAAAUUUUUACUAGGCCUCCAAUCUGAGGCUGUAAAGAGCUGAUGGGUUGAUGUCAGAGGUAGACAAGGAACCGUACUUUCAGAAGACCAUGACACAAAUCAACGGCUGGAAUCCAAUCACUCAAGGGAUGGUGUCAUGUUGCCACGAGUGAGAGACAGCUGGUCUCCAUCUGAAUGUUUAAAUAUGAUUGGGUAUCUUAGUAAUUGUAUAACAAUUGAUUUUUUUUUUUUAAAGUUGUCGGUGUGGAUGAAAAAUACUGAGUUUGUAGCUUAGUAAAAACAUGUUGAUGUUACUUUUUAUUAGCUCAUGGUUGGCCCAUAAAUUGUAAUAGGUCCCACAAUCACAAACCUACUAUUCACAUGUAAUUUAUGUCUUACAACUUGUUUUUUAAAUUAUUAUUUUUAUAUUUUUAUACCAUUUUUAUUUUAAAAAAUUUAAGUUUAAAAAAUAUUAUUUUAAUAUAUUUUUAAAUAAAAAAUAUUUUAAAAAACAAUAAUAUCUGAAUGUUUUAUAAAUUUUUACAAUCACUUUUACAUUUUUUUUAGAUCACAUUUGAGAAUGCAGUACACCACAAUAAAGUUUCGUUGUUGCUACAUGAUUAAAGGUAAGUAAUUGUCUUGCAUUUACCUUUAAAACUGCUAUCAAGAAUUAAUUAAUUGCGUCAAUUCAAUUAUUUCUAUUGACAUUGAUACCAAACAUGUUAAUUCAUGAUAUAAUUAAGCAAUUCAAUACAAAUUUACUAAUAUAAUUUAUUCCGGCGUAAAGCUUUGAAUAUAGCCAAAUGCAGAGGUUAUGCAAGUGAAAUACCUUAAUAAUUAAAUUAAAAAAAGAAAACAAAAUAUAAUGUAUAAAAUAUAAUAAUAUAAUUUAUAAUUUAUUUAUUUGCUUUAUCAGUGAAAAUUGAAAAGAGAUGGAAGGAGGGAGAGAGAAGAAAUAAAUUGAAGUCUUCUGCUGCCUGAAGAGCUUGGCUAGUGAUGUUUUUCGAUCAAACCCACUUUUUUCAAAGAUGGAAUUUCUCGGAAAAUGUGUGAUCCAGAGAAAAGCCUUUUGCGAGUUAUUAUGUUGCUGACACUGGAUAGAGACACUUCAACUAUCUUUUCAUUAUUUUGAGCGCAGUUGCCACCCACCUUUCUGUGGCUUCAUGCUCCUUCUCCAAACCAUUCAUAUAUAGUGCAGCCUGAGCUUUACUGGUUACGUUUCCUUUGAGGAUAAUUAUUGUUAAAUUAUUUUUUGUUUUAAAAUAUAUUAAAAUAAUAUUAUAUUUUUUAUAAUUUUAAUAUAAACACAUUAAAAUUAUUAAAAAAAUCAAUAAUUUAAUAUAUUUUUAAAUAAAAUAUAUUUUAAAAAAACAUACAUUACGAACUAUUCUCUCAAACACACAAUUUUAUUCCAUCUUAAAACUUGAGAUAUUAGAAUAGUCAAGUUCCCUCGUUAAAUUUACAAUUGUGGUAGUGGGAGUUGUAUAACUCAUUAAAAAAUAAAUUUUAUAUUAAAAUAAAAAUUUUAAAAAUAUAUUGAUUAAAAAUGUGAGGUGUUAUUCUGCAUUAUUAGCACAUCACGUGAAAAGAUAGAUUGGCAUAUAAUAAAAGCAAUCCCAAUCAAACCCAUUUUUUCGACGAUGGGAUCUCUUGGCAAAUAAAGCGAGGACAAACCGAGUAAAACAUGGGACCCAACUCCAUUUUCCUGGCACACGCAACUCACGCAUACACACACUCAUUUGAGAUAUUUUUUUUACUAUGGAGUUCAGGCAAAUAAAGUGAUGGAAGAAGGUCUUCUUCUGCGUGAAAAGCUUGGCAUUAAUGAAGUUUUUCCAUUCAAACCCACGCAUACACCCUGUAAUAUCUAGGAAAUUUCUCUGCUAUUUAAAUUAGGCGUACAAGCUGAGGCUGUAAUGAGCCCUUAAUCAACAUAGAAAAAAUUUCAUGAAAAUGGAUUAAUGUCAAAAAUAUAUUUCAAAAAAUCAUGACUCAAAUUAGUGAUUGAAAUCCAAUCACUUAAAAGAUGGUGACACGUUGUCAUGAGUGAGAGAUAACUGGUCACCAGUACAAAAAAAAACAGUAACGUUUUCAUUAUUUAAAAUGGAGUAUUUGUUUUGCUAAGUGUCUUUGUUAUCAUGAUAGCUCUUGUGGUGAUGGAUGUUUAAACAUGAUUGGACAUCUUAGUAAUUGUAAAAACAAUUUUUUUUUUUUUGGAUGAAGUUGUCGGUGGAUGAGAAAAUACUGAGUCUGUAGCUUAGUAAAAACAUGUUGAUGUUACUUUUUAUUAACUCAGGGUUGGCCCGUAAAUUAUAAUGGGUCCCACAAUCACAAACCUCUGAUUCACUUGUAAUUUAUGUUUUAUAACUUUUUUAUUUUAAAUUAUUAUUUUUUAUAUUUUUAUACCAUUUUUAUAUGAAAAAUAUUUUUUAAAAAAUAAAAAAUAUUAUUUUAAUAUAUCUUUAAAUAAAAAAUACUUUAAAAAACAAUAAUAUCAAACACCUAAAUGUUUUAUAAAUUCUCUACAUUCACUUUUACAUUUCUUUAGAUCACAUGAGAAUGCGGGACACCACAAUGAAGUCCGUGGUUGCUACAUGAUUAAAGGUAAAUGUCUUUUAAAACUGCUAUCAAGAAUUAAUUAAUUGCGUAAAUUCAAUUCUUUCUAUUGACAUUGAUGCCAAACAUGUUAAUUCAUGAUAUAAUUAAGCAAUUCAAUACAAAUUUACUAAUAUAAUUUAUUUCGGCUUAAACCUUUGAAUAAAGCAAAAUGCAGAGGUUGUGAAAGUGAAAUACCUCAAUAAUUUCUAUGCUUUACAACCCUAGGAGCCACACAAAAUAUAAUGCGUUUGUUACUAUUAAUUUAUUUAAAAAAUAAAUUAAAAUAUUUUUUAAUAUUUGAUUAUGUUAUAGAAAACGAGUCAAAAAAUAAUUUUUUAAUUUUUUUCUCAAGUUUAUUAAAAAAAUAAGAAACAAAUCUUACAAAUAAAAAUAUUGAAGGAGAAUGAAAUUGAAAAAUAUAUAUUUACAUAAAUUAUUUUAAAUAAAAUAAAUAACAAUCAUAAGAAUGAGAGCCAAAUAUGACAUAUAAAAAUAUUUAAUAAAAAAUAAAACAAUAAUAAAUAAAUAAAAUUAAUAUAAAAAUAAUACUAAACCAAGAAUUAAAUUAAAAAAAGAAAACAAAAUAUAAUGUAUAGUUUAUAAUUUAUUUAUUUGCUUUAUCAAUGAAAAGUGAUGGCAGGAGGGGAGAGAGAGGAAAUAAAGUCUGCUGCCUGAUCACAUCACGUGAAGAGCUUGGCAUUUAGUGAUGUUUUCCGAUCAAACCCACUUUUUUCAAAGAUGGAAUUUAUUGGAAAAUAAAUGAAAGACAAACCGAGUAAAAUGGAGUCCAGAGCAUACAAGAGCCGAGAUUGAAACAGGAAAUGCAAGAAAAAGAAGAUGGGCCCUUGUUUUCUCUUUUUACGGCCGGCGACCGGAUAUAAAAAGGAAGGAGAUGAAGCUUUCAAAUUAUUUAUAAUUUUGCGGUCACUUAUUGUGUCCAUGUCAUUUUGUGUAAUUGCCCAGCUACAAUUUAUAAAUGAUGUAAACUCUUAAUUUUUAAUCGAUGUAAAAUGUUGGAGUAUCAUGUUGCUGAAAAAAUCUUUUUAAGUGUAUAAUAUGUUGCAUUUGGGGCAAAAUUAAUAGUUUUGAAUGUUUUUAUUACCGAAACCUUUUUUUUUUCUCAACCUCUUUCUCUCUCUCUUCUUGUCAAAUACAAAAGUUUUUUUUUUUCAUUUUUUUAAAUGAUUUAAUUUUAAUUUUAUUUUAUUUUAUUUUUAUCUUUUGUAGAUUUGUAUUUUAUCGUUUGAUUUUAUUUAAUUGUUUUUAUUAAACAUGACCUUUAUUUACUUUAUUUAUUAUUUUUUUAAUUAAACGUUCUCUUAACAUUUAUUUUCAAUAUCAGAUUUAAUUAAUCAUAUUAAUCCUAUUUUAUCUUACACUUUAAAUUCCAACAAGUACCCGAUCCAACAAUAUCUGCAUUCACACUUGAGGGUCUAACUUAUUGGUCAACUGCAAGACUUGUCUUUGCGAACGUCUUGGGUUCGAUCCUCUUUGUGUACCCUGUCACCCCGCGGUGUCUUACCUGUUCACCGGGCUUGCAGGAUAUUCAGUGGACUCGAGGAUUAGUUGUGAUGCGCGCAAGCUGACCCGAACACCUCGGGUUAUAAAAAAAAAAAAAACAAUAUCUGCAUUCAAUUAAAACUUAUGGUACAGCGAAAAAAAAAAAAAAGAGUAGGAACCAACUAAGAAAUUUAUGUGCUGUUCCCAGCUAUGUUGCUGACACUGGACAGGAGAGACUUCUUCAACCACCGAUAAAAUUAUUUUUAUUAACUUUUUGUGCAAUUUGUUACUUUGUUUCGAUCUUUCUCUCUUUGCACCACAAACACUUGGACACGGUAGAAACCAAGCACGGUUUUUCUGUCAAUGUACGAUACCGUAUUUAACAAUAUCUUUUUAUUUUUAUUUUAUGAAGAGUAGUAUGUUGGUGAUCUAUGUAUGUUUUUUUUAAAAAUCACAUAUAUAUUUAUCUAAAAUUAUUGAUAUUUAAAAAAUUACAUUAUUUUUUUAAUGACUCCUUCCACUGUUCUUGUAGAAUUAAGCAAAUAUUAUGCAAAGCUUCAAGUUUUGUGUAAUUGUUUUUAAUACAAGAGAGUUUAACCAUUUUAAAAUGUUUAAUGAGUUCUUUAAAAUAUUGAAAGUAAUGUACAAAAACUAAUUUAUAAUUUUAUUACAGAUCGUGCUUUAUUAUAGGUCAAGUCAAGUUUUUCUUAAGAAUAAAAAAUUAUUUAAAUUAUGAAUGUUUUAAUUUAUUCUGGUAAAAAAAAUUUAAAUCAUGAUGUGAUCUAACUUGAUUGAAUUUGUAGUUCACAAAACAACCUAGAUAACAAAUAAAAAUAUAAUUUAACUUAUAAAUUUUUUCAAGAUUACAUAUAUUUUUUUAAUAUUAAGAUAAUAACAAAUUAAAUUGAUUUGGAUAAACUCAAUUUAACUUAUUAAAUUCAUAACCCGUGUUAUGAGACUAUGAUAAACCUGUAAAAAACAAAUUAUUAAGUUUAAUUCUCAACCACCAAAUAUUAAAAGAUAAAAUUAAAAUAAAUAAAUAAACCAUGUGGAGAUUAACUCAAUAUGACUUAAUUGAUUUAGCUUGUUCAAAAACAACCAAGAUAAUCACUAGAAAUAUAAUCUGACUUGGAAAAAAUUUCAAGAUGAUAUUUUUUUUUAAUAUAAAGAUAACAAAGUAAUAGAUCGAAUUGGGUUAAGCAGAGUUAGCUUGUUAAAUUUUUUAUUUGGGUAUGAGACUAUGAAAUCUAAUUCCUAAGCAACCAAAUAUUGAAUGGUAUAAUUAAAAAAAUAAUCAAUUAAAAAAAUGAUUUAAAAAUAUGAACGGAGUUAACAUGUCAAGUCCAUAACCUAUCUUAUAAUAAAGAUAUAAUCUUAUAAAAAAAAUCAAAAUAAAUUAUGAAAUUCAAUCUUAAACAGCUAAAUUUUAAAAGAUAAAAUUUUAAAAAAAUAAUUUUAAAAAGAACAUAAAAAUGACCUAAGUAAAUCCCCCAAACCCAUAGCUUAUUAAGAGAUCGUGAUAAUCUUGUAAAAAAAAAAUUACAUGAUUUAACUCGUUAAAUUUAUGACUUUGGUUACAAUACCGAGACAACCUCUUAAAGAGUAAAUAAAAAUAAAUUGAAAAGUGCAAUCCCUAAUUGACCAUGUCAAACCCGAUGUGAACGAUGCAAUUUUUAAAAUUUUGAAUUAAAAAAUAACAUAAAAAAUAAUUUAGGUUAACCCAUUAAGCAUCAUUCUUAGAUUACGAGACCAGGAUAACAUAAUAAAAAUAAAAUCAAAACAAACCACAAAGUCUAAUUCCUAAUAAAACAUUAUUAAAUAAUAAAAUUGAAAAAAAAAAAGUUAAUUAAAAGAAAUUUGAGUCAAUUAGGCUAACUUGCUAAGCCUGCAAGUUAGGUUAUGAAACAUAAAUAACUCAAUAAAAAACAAAUUUACUAUUGAAGGACUAGUGACGCAGGUCAUGAAAUAAAGAUAACCUUUUACAAACAAAAUUAAAAAACAACUCAAUUUAAUUUGGAUUAAAAUGUCAAAACCUUCGUCUCUAAUCAUGAGACUAGGAUAACCAUGUAGAAAAUAAUUUGAAAUAGAUUAUGAAGUUUCAUUCUCAACUGACCUGAUAUCGAAUGAUAAAGUUGGAAAAAAAUUCAAUUAAAAAAAUAUAAAAUACAACCUGAGUCAACUGAGGUUAACCUGUUAAGUAUUAUUUCCGGGUUACGAGGUUAGAAUAAUCUAAUAUAAAUUAAACAAAACAAAACAUGAAACUUAAUUUUUAAUUAAAAGAUAAAAUUGUAAAAAAAAGUUAAUAAAAAAAAAUCAAGUUAACUUUUUGUUAUAAAAGUGAGACAACUUAAUAAAAAAAAUUAAUAUUAAAAUAAAAAAAAUCAUUAAAAAAUACUCAUUCAAAUAAUUGUAUAAAACAUAAUAAUAUAAACUAUAAUUUAUGAUUUAUUUAUUUAUUUUAGUAUUUAGUGAAGUCUUUUCAAUCAAACCCUUUUUUAAAAAGAUAUAAUUUCUAGGAAAAUAAAUUAAAGACAAACCGUGUAAAAUUCUAAAAGAAAAUAAAGAUGGGAUAUUGUUUCAGUUGCGGCUUGGAUACGUGUUUCAAAAAUAUUUUUAAAAAAAAUAUAUUUUUUUAAUUUUAAAUUAAUAAAUUUUUAGUUUUUUUAGAUCUUUUAAUAUAUUAAUAUUAAAAAUAAUUUAUAAAAAAUAAAAAUAUUUUAUUUUAAUAUAUUUUUAAAUAAAAAACAAUAAGAGACAACCGUGACCACUUAAAUGAAGCAUACCAAGUUGAGAGUUGAGGAGCCGAGAGAGAAAAAGCUUUUGCCAGUUCUUUACGCAAAUUCUUUCCCCUUCUGUCACCUGAACAAAAUCCCCUCUUCUUCUUCUUCUUCUUCUUCUUGUUUGUUUACUCUUCCUUCGUUACUUUGCAAAGAGGAGAAACCAUGGCCGGGGCUUUAGUAGGAGGAGCUUUUCUUUCUUCUUUCCUUAAUGUUUUGUUCGACAGGAUGGCCUCUCCCCAGGUGGUGGCCUUCUUCAGAGGGAAAAAAGUCAACGAUAGUAAUCUGCUGCAGAAGUUGAAGACAACAAUGACAUCUCUCAGGGUGGUGCUUGACGAUGCUGAGGAGAAGCAGAUAACAAGUUCAGCUGUGCGGGAUUGGCUGGCCGAGCUUAAAGACGCUGUCUAUAAAGCCGACGACUUCUUGGAUGAGAUUGCUUAUGAAGCUCUACGGCAGGAGUUGGAAGCUGAAGAUCAAACCUUCACAAGUCAGACGCAGAAGCUUCUUUCUUUCAUUAACCCACUUGAAAUAUUGGGGUCGAGAGAGAUCGAAGAAAAAUUAAAAGUCCUCUUGCAGGAUCUAGAUCCCUUAGUUGAACGAAUGGCAGCCCUUGGUUUGAACAACCGCAAUGUAGAAAAUCCACCAUCGCAUAGAACACCAACAACUUCUCUCGUGGAUGAAUCUGGUGUUUAUGGUAGAGAUGAUGACAGGGAAGCAAUACUGAAGUUGCUUCUAUCAGAGGAUGCAAAUGGAGAAAACCCUGGUGUCGUCCCCAUUAGGGGAAUGGGCGGGGUUGGUAAAACCACGCUUGCUCAGCUUGCUUCCAUUCUCUCCUUUUCUCCUUAUCCGCAUCUUCAAAAAUUCAAAAUCUUUUCCCCACCUCUUUCUCUAAUCUAUUCCCCUUCUCCAAAAAUUCAAAAUCCAAAAACUUUUGAUUUAUUUAUUUUAUUAUCACUUAACUUUGAUUAAAAAACUUUUCUUGAAGUUUACUUCCAUCAAAGAUCUUUUAUAGAUAUAAAAAGAAGAGAUAAUAUAAAAUUCAUCCGCGUAUUGGAAUCACAAUUCAGAAUCAAGUUAAAGCGGCCAAUGUCACUCGAGAGAGUAGGCACUUGCAAAUCUGCUAAUAAUUAUUGGAGCAUCACCCUUCCGCACAAUCAACAGAAAGUCAUCAUCUUGAGAACCCACAGCAAAGAGUUCAUUUUUUUGCAGUAGAUACGUAGCUAUAUUAACAACGAUACUUCCAGCAUGCACAAAUGGGACUUCUUGAUGGUUACGCUGCUAAAGACAUUUACAAAUCCCCAUCAAUACUGGUGUUUAUUCCUCAUGAUGAUCCAGUGAGCUGACAAUAAAAGAAAACCUCGGCAUUACUAGUAAAUCGUCACUGCAAGCAUGGAAGAGAUUCAGGUAGGAAUUACCCUUGUCUUCAUUGAGAGGCUUUAACCUCCCUUGUCAGCAGGCCCAUGGUUCGAUGCAUCCUCUGAAGCGUCUAAGCAAGGAUUGCUUUUACACUGACUUACAGGCUGAGAAAGUUGGGACCCCUUUUGCGAAAAGUUUGGUUUACCUUUCGGAGUCUCAGACAGGCUUCCCGUUGACAGCUUUGCUAGGCCCAUUGUCUUGUGCUCACGCGGGAGCUUUGUUGAAAAAGGUGAUUCAGGUGUAUCAGGAUGCUUCCCAGGAAUAUCCAUCGGUCUAUGAAACAGCAAAUGAGCCACAGUCCGGUCUACCGGAUUGGUCUCUGUUUCCACCUCAGGCAUCUUAACCACCCUGCAGUAUACUCAUAAAAUCCAUGAGGAAAAUGACAGGAAACUUUGAGAUUGCCAUACUCUAAACAAAUUGAUAAAGACUUGAUUAAUAAUUUUGUGCAAACAAAUUGAAUGAUUUGAAAUGGGAAGGACGAGAUGUAAAGGAACAAACCCAUUGGAACAAGAAACAAUCACAUUGUCGCUUACAACAAAAAAUCGAGUUUCAGAUCAAAACAGCUUAUGGUUUUGGCUGGAAGUGUCCCAUUUAGACAUUGAUGAGCCGAUUAGAAGAUGAUUUGAGUUCUUAAAUUUCUUGCUUAAAAUGUAAUGUAUCAUGAUUCUGCAGAUGAUCAUUAAAUUAGAAGGGAAAUUUAAUUUUGCCCUGUUUAUCUAAAGUUGUGCAAGUUCUCUGCAUUGAUGAUUCCAGUGAAUUUGUACAGAUCUUGUUUUCCUUCUAUUUGUCCUUGAAUAAACUUAUUGCACUUGUUGAACAAUCUUUGUUUCUCUCUCUUAGUUAAAUCUAGUAAAAUUUAUCAUGUAUGUUGUGCCACUCAUUUAGACUUGGAUGUGCGUGUUUAGCUCUUCUUUUCGGAUUAAGGUGAUUAUGCACAAAUUCACUGGAAUCAACAUUGCAGAAAACUUGCAUAGAUUUUGUUAAUAUUGGAAAAAUUAAAUUCGUUUUCUAAUUAAAUGAAAAUCUCUCCUAAAUAUUAUGCUAUUUGAAUUGUCACCUCAUGACUACUUGCUGCACUGCACUCAUGAAUGCUGCACCAGGGUAAAGCUACAAAUGUCAGUUUAAUAUCUGCCUCUACCUAGGUUGGCCUACAUACAAUACCAAAGCUUCUCUCAACUAAAUCAAGACAUGAUGACCAGCACUCACAAUCAUAACAGAACCAGUGGAAGCGAACUACUACAUAUUUGAUCAACAAGGUCAAAUUCAGUCAAGUUUUUAAGGAAAUCCAGUGAAAGAGGAACCUAAAAUUUUCUGUUUAGAUUUUCUUCUACUUCUAAGAACAAGCGCUGCCUUAAUUGAAUUGUUUCAGUCACUAUUCCUCCAUUGUAAAUAGAGGAUACCGUUUUCAAUAUUUAUUUCCAGAGUGAGAAUGGAAAACAGAAAAUGGUGAUGGCAUUAAAAGAUCCUAAUUUAACAUUUCCAUAGAGCAAAAAUGUUUUUUAAAAAAGAGAGAGGAUAGAUUAAAUUUGAAAACAGAAGCAUGAGAAAUGCAUUACCUUAACCAACCUUCUUUGACUACUAUUGUUUGUACUGCCAGUAUCACUAGCAUAAUGCCUUUGCAUUGCACUUUGAGCCAGCCGGAACAAGCUAUCCCGAAUACAAAGUCUAAUUCUGACAUCCAACUGUUGUAAAACAUUGGUUUGGAAUCGUAACCAAGCACAAAUUAUUUAGCAGGGAAAGAAUGCAAUAGUAGGUGAAGCAUACCUUUGAAAUAAUAUCUUGAAGCCUGUAGAGUACUGUGUCCUCCAUUGAAUAAUCAUUAACCGCCAGAGAGACUGUAUUGGAAUCGUCUUGCUCAAUAGGUGAGUUUGGGUCAAAUGAAGCAAGUGUACUUAGAUCCUCUACUUCAAGGUCAGCUCCUUCAACAUGCUGAAUUUGAUUUUCUUGGGAACACUUUUGAUGAACAAGCUGCUGCUGCUGUUUCUGAAUGGCAAGCAUUGCCUGAAUUUGUUGCCGCCUCCUUAAUUUUUCAAUCUUUUCCUGAGGUGUCAUUCUCUGGGGUUUCACUGGACAGUCAGCUAACUUGUUUAUAGGAUUUGCAUUGCCUGAAACUUCAUAACCAGAAAUUUUAGGUCGAUGAUUAAAUGACUAGAAAUUUUGUUGGAAAGUCAGAAAACUUUAACAGGAUUCGCAUUACCUGAAGAAACUUCAUAACCAGAAGCUAAAGGUUGAUGCUUAAAAUCCCCAGACUGAAUGUGGGACAACCCAGGCAUAGAAUAUGGAUUUGUAAUACUCCCGUAGGCAGAAGGGGCCACAAAUGGAUUGGAUAUCUGCUGGUACUGCAACUGCUCGGAACCCUGUAGCUGCUUCUGUUGGCUGAGAAUUGAAGGGGGAGAAGAUUGCAUAAUUUGGGGUUCUAAAUGAUCCUUAAGUUGACAGGCUGGGAUUCCAGAUGAAGUCCAGUUUCCAUAAAAAUCUUGGUAUGAUUUCAGUUCACCUUUUUCUUCCAGUUUUUCCCGACCUUUCAAGAUCUUCUUUUGCCUGUAAGUCUGAUCACAGAACUAUAAACAUAUAAAUAGACAAAUUACUUAGAAUAGAUCAACGUUUUAACCAUCUAGACCUGCAGGGGAGAGUGACUAAGGCACAGUUAGUAUUUUAACUCAGUACAUGGUUUGUAAGGAUAAAUUCAAUGUUAUUUUUUUUUUUUAAUUGUAACUUACGAUCCAAAGGGCUUCUAUUGUUCAGAAUAUAUUGAGGUAUUAGCUAAACUAUGCCAAGCAAACAGAAUUUGCAUGUCCCUGGGAAGAGUGGGUGUCAUACUAGAAAUAUAAAUUACUGAUGCCUCCUGAAUUUUGACAUGCUAUUCCUUUCUCCUUCCUACUAACAGAAAACCAGACAAUGGCUUUACUUUAGGCAAUCGAUAUCAUGGUUAAGUCAUGGAUUUGACAUCAAGGAUAACUUAAUUGAUGCAUUAUUGAAGUGAUGACUAAAUCAUGUAAAUCCAUAUUCACCCAACAUCCAAGUUUAAUCUCAUUCCAAAAAAUAAAACUAAUAGCAUGAAUUAUGAAGAGACGAAGAGGAAUUUAAAUAAUAUAAUUUCUCUUUUCUGUCGCCAUUUUCCAUUCCAGAGAAGUACUCAGGAAGUCUUAAUAAGUUCAAGUGUAAGGUAACUUUUACCCUUCCCAGCUCUAAUUAGGUUUCGCUGUCCCUCCAAUCUAAUUUAAGAUCUAAUAUGAGGAAACCACACUGUAUUAGUGAAAGGAUCACAAUAUCAAGAUUUUCCAACUUCAAUUCACUGAUAUAACUUUUCUUGAAUCCUGGACAAAAGAACUUAGAACAUCAAAAGAUCAUAGCAGGAUUCUAAAAAACAAAGAUUGUAUUUGGUGCCUAUUGAGUCUAAAAGUUAUCUUGGAUGAAAAGGGUAAAAAUCAGUAAUAUGUCUGGUUCAGUAUCAAGAUUUUGAAAAUAUCAAAAGGAAGAAAAAAAAAGGUACCUUGUUUGCUAAUUCAUUUGGAAAAGCACCAUUUUCCUCUGUCAGUUGAGAGUUAGCCGCCGUGUUCUUUCCCACAACAGCCAAAUCUGUCUGCAAAAGCACAAAAAAAUAAAAUAAAAAAUGCUAAGCUUCUCUCAGCUCCUGCACUUGAGCAUGGGGCAUUAAUAAGUGAACUCAUUACUGAAAAUUGAGUCGCUAUACCUGCUCCUUCAGUAUAGGCUUGUUUUUACCUUCAUCAUAUUCUACAUGAUCAAGGCUUGCCUGAGUAUUCUGCAGACCAUGAGAUGCAGGGUCGUUCAUUUUUCCAUAGCCAAGGGCAAACAGCUGGUCCUCUUCUCUCGAAGCCACAGAUAUUGGAAAGGGCUUUACCGGGCUGUUAGUUGUACAUUUUGAAGAAGACCAUAGCUCAUCAGCAUUACCAAGAUUUACAUUGCCAAAUAUUGGGUCAUCAUUGCUGCAAAAUCACCACUUGUGAGGAUAUUGAGUCAGAUGGUUAUCACUGUUCUCCAACAGAAUCAAGAUAAAAUAUAAGAACAUUAGUGAAGAACAGAAAUGCAGGAAAGCCCUUCCACAAUUGAACAAGCUCACCAAUUCCUUACAAAUCCAGUGCUGCUAUAUUACAUUCUUUCUGCCAUUUAUACUUGUAAUUGAGGAUAUUGUGCUGCUAAAAACUCGCAUCCUUCAGGUUCUUUUCACAAUUAACAAAAUUAAGCCAGGAUCAAAAACCAUAAAUUUUCAAACAACUAGUCUUUUUUGUUAGUGUUGCUUUCAGCAGACAGCACUUGUUUGGAAAAGGAUAUAGAUCCAAAACAGAAGAAACUACAAUUAUUAAAAGAGUCUGGUUGUUUUUCCUUCACAACAACACUCUUGUAGUACAUGAUUUUUUUCUUCUGAAAUGAAAAUAGGCAGUGAGCAUAAUUAUUUUGUCCGCGAAACUUUCACUUCACAGUCAGUAAUAAGAAUUUGUUCAAAUUAUCAGAAUAAUGAGAUGUACAAGCUUCCAUAUCAGGGUGCUGCUGACCAUCUUUCAUUUAGGUGCAGAAAGUAAGAAAUGGUAACUGUGCUUUACCUAAAAAUUCGAUCAAGAUCAUCAAAGCUUCCAAUGCUAGCCCAGCCAUAAUCAACAAAAUCACCUUGCUCUUCACCUUCAUGAGGAUUUUGAAAAAUCUCAGUGUCCUUAUCAAGAUGAUCUGUCUCUGCGUUUUAAAAAAAAGAAUUAGAAUGACAGUAGCAUGUAAGAUACUAUGCUAUGAAAACAUCAUGCAACUCGUCACCCUAUCUACAUUUUUUCCUUGUAAUUGAAAUCUCAUCACCUGCUGAUGAAUCGAGUUUGGUAAUCUCAGUUAGAUUGUUAGAGAUUGAAGUUUCCAAGGAAUCCUGCUCAGUUUUGGCAGCAUUACGUGAGGACAAGUUAGGCCAUCGGUCCAUGUCAAGUCCUAAGGAAGAAGUUCCUUCACUUGUGUCAACAUUCGAAAUGCUCUCCAGCUUUCUGCCAUCAGUAUCAACUUUAGCCCCGGGUGCCUUCUGCUCACUAGAUUUAAUGGUGCUAGCUUCUUCACUCGAUUCCUUUUUCUUGCAAUAAUCUUCACUUGCCUCUGGAUAUGGCACGAUAUGGUCAUCACUAUCUUCAGCCUCACCCCAUAUUAUGUUCGUAAGCUGAAAAGAUAGUGAGUAAGCAUCAUCACUAAAUGUGGGAUACAUGAGAAGAAUGAAACAGUCACAAGUUAAUCUCUGGGUAACUUGGCAAGACUAUUUUCCCCAACAUAAUAUUCUGAAUAAUACACUAAUUAAUCAGUUCAGUUCCUUGUAAGGUGUGCGUGGGCACAUAUGAGCACACAUGUGUGUACGAGAGUUGCUAGUGUCAAUGAGUUGGGAACAAAAUAUUUAAUUGAGUCAUGCAGAAAAUACUAAAAUGUUCUAAAUUGUGUUAAAAAUAAAAUAGAAAGUAGAAGCCAUUGGCAUGAUUCAUUUAAAAAUUUCUACAAAAUUAAAAAAAGAAAACAAAACAAAAGGAGGAGAUGGCCCAAAGCAUGCUCUCAAUAAGAUGAAGUAAGACCUAAAGCUUCAUUGCAUGUACAGAGCACUUUGGAAACUUCAGUCUGGACAAAUAAAACCAAGGCAAAGUAUCUUCUUUUUGGAACUAAUUUCUUCACAGUAAGAUAUAACAUCCAACGCUACCUGCAUCACUUUCUCAUGGUCCUCUCUGACUCGAGUGAUCAUAAACCUUCUCAAAUCCCAUUUAAAGAAGAUUCCCUUUCUCACUUUUCGUUGGUAUUAUUUGACACCAAGAUCACAACCAAACAUUACCAAUAAGUGUGUCACCGGAGAAAGAAACUUAGGUGCCCUAAUACCAUAAAUAAAACCUAUUCAAUAAAAAUUAGACAAUAUUUUAUAGCUGUACAUCUAUAAUCAAAGUAAAAUGCCCAAAACUCUGAAUCCUGAAUAUGUGAAUCAAAGUAAAAGGCCCUAACUGAUGCACCAUCAGCAGUCUCCUACUUUGACUUGUGAUUAAUGACCUAGCAGUUCACUUCAACAACAUUAGUGAACAUAAGUUUGAAUUUCAGACCCAGCAAGAAGAAGUACAUUUUCCAGUAGGCAUGCAUAUCACCUUUUUAUCAAUAUCCAUGGAAGACAAACCAAGCAAUAUCAAGUUUUUUUCUGCUGGAUAUCCAAUAAAAAAUACCUCAUAGUGUGAACAUCUUUAAGAAGGAGGAUAUCACAUUGCACCCCAUCAACUGAUCCACAAAUAAAUUUGCAUCUUUCCAUCAGUUCCAAGCUCUUUGUAAGGAAAAGGGAGGGAAGUGCCUUCAAAGAUACCUUCUUCAUAGCUUCUUUAGAUAUGAAUCCACACGGCUUUCGUAAUCACCAAUCACUAUGCGCAGCUUCUCUUAUCAUCACAAGCUCCAUCUCUUUCCACGUCCUAACUUCAUUCGAUGAACUCUUCCCUCAGUUCCCAAGAAAAAUUAUAUUCAUCCCUCCUGCAGCCUUUUCCCUGCAUAUUUCCACCAGCUUCAUAGCUAUAUGGCCUGUGAAAACUGUCGUUGUUGCAGUGAUUCUGAACAACAAAAAUAACAAAGGAUAAUGCUUGUGUUUAAGAAGAGAUUGAUGAAUGAAAAGCUUAAAUACUUUAUUCAUAACUGCAGCUCAAUUUAUAGAGCUGAUACAUAACAAACUCCUACGAUCAUGGUCCUACAUUCAAGCCAUGAUCAAUUGAUAAUGGAAAUAACAGAGCUGCGAAAUAGCAGCAAGAACAAGAGAAUAGGAACAGAAUUGACUAAAUCAAAAAUUAAAGAAAGAAUAAAAUUCCAGCUCAGCAGUCCUGAACAUUAUUUCUAACACUCCUCCUUGUUUAGGAGCUGCAAACUCCCAACUUUGUUCUCAGAAAUUCGAAUUUGUUGACUGGCAGUGGUUUGGUGAAAAUAUCAGCUGCUUGUUCUUCAGUUUUGCAGUAAAUAAGAAUGAUACUCCAAUCUUUCUGCACCUCUCUCAAAAAGAAUAAUUUGAUGUUGAAGUGCUUGGUUUUCCCGUGAAACACAGGAUUAUUAGAGAUGGAAAUGGCAGCUUGAUUGUCAACUAGAAUUUCUGUGCUUUCCUUUUGCUCCAGGUUAAGAUCAGAUAAAAUUUUCCUCAGCCACAAAGCUUGAUUGACAGCAGCUGUUGCAGCCACAAACUCAGCUUCAGCAGUGGAUUGGGCUACGGUUUCUUGCUUUUUUGAAUUCCAUGAAAACACACCAGAACCUAAAGAGAAACAGUAGCCUGAUGUGCUCUUCAAGUCAUCAAUUGAGCCUCCCCAAUCACUGUCAGAGUACCCGACCAGUUUGAACUCUCUACUUCUUGUGUAUCUUAUGCCAAAAUUGCAGGUUCCUUUGACAUAUCUUAUCACUCUUUUAGCAGCCUUGAAAUGCAAUUCACUAGCACAAUGCAUGAAUCUAGACAAGAUACUCACAGCAUUCAAAAUAUCAGGCCUAGUUGCAGUGAGAUACAUCAAGCAUCCAACAAUUUUUCUGAAUUGUGCUUGAUCAACCUUCUCGGCUCCAUCUUCUUUACAUAGCUUCUCCUUUUGAUUCAUAGGAGUGCUUACUGCUUUGCAAUCUUCAAGUUUGAACUUUUUGAGGAUUUCUUUGGCAUACUUCUUCUGACAUAUGAACACUUCAUGUUCAGCUUGCUUAACUUCCAUUCCAAGAAAAAAGGACAUCAAACCCAAAUCUGUCAUCUCAAAUACACUCAUCAUCUCUUGCUUGAACGUCUCCACAUUAUUGUUGUUAUUUCCUGUUACAAGCAAAUCAUCAACGUAAAGUGAGAUGAUAAGGAUGUUAUCACCAUUUUGCUUGAUGUAAAGAGUCGAUUCAGAGAGGCUUUUAGUGAAUCCCAAGUGCUGCAAAUGUUCAUCGAUUCGGCUGUACCAAGCUCUUGGAGCUUGCUUCAAUCCAUAUAGUGCCUUCUUAAGAAGACAGACUUUGUCCUCCUCUCCUUCAUUUGCAAAGCCUUCUGGUUGCUCAGUAUAGAUCUCCUCCUGCAAAACACCAUUUAAAAACGCUGACUUGACGUCCAUUUGAUACACCUUCCAAUUCAGUUGUGCUGCAAUGGCAAGUAGCAGCCUGAUAGUGUCAAGUCUUGCUACCGGUGCAAACGUGUCUGAGUAGUCCACGCCAAAGAUUUGUGCAUAACCCUUCACCACUAGCCUGGCUUUGAGCUUAUUGAUUGAGCCAUCAGCGUUGAGUUUUGUUCGAUACACCCAUUUUACACCGAUUACAUUUCUGUUUUGAGGUCUGUCAACCAACUCCCACGUGUUGUUUCUCGUGAUCAUGAGAAGCUCCUCCUUCAUCGCAGCAAGCCAAUUUUGAUCUAGCUUGGCUUCUUCAAAGUCUGCUGGUUCACACACAGCAAUGUUGCACCUUUGAUACACAUCAAGGAGUGACCGUGUGCCUCUAACAGGAGUGUCAUCUGUCAUGUUGAUGUCCCAAUCUUCCAUGCUUUGAUCAUCUGUGUCUGAAACAAGAUAAUUGCCUUUUGGAGAGGCUGAAUCUUCUUUGAUUGCAUCGUUCCAAUCCCAUUCUUCAUCUUCCAGGAAUUGGACAUCUCUGCUUAUAACGAUUUUUCCAGUUUGUGGCUGGAAAAUCUUAUAAGCCUUUGAAACUAAGCUGUAGCCAACAAAAAUGCCUGGAAGUGCUUUCUUGUCAAGUUUAUCCCUCUUGACCUGUGGAACAAGGGUGAAGCACAAACAUCCAAAUACCUUAAGAAAAUUCAGAGAUGGUUUGUAACCAUACCAUGCCUCAAAGGGUGUUUGAUCCUUCAAGGCUCUUGUAGGCAGUCGAUUUUGCAAGAACACAGCAGUGUUUGCAGCCUCUGCCCAGAAUUUCUUUGGUAAAUUCUUCUCAUGUAGCAAGCAUCUUGUCAUUUCCAAUAUGAACUUGUUUCGCCUCUCACUAACUCCGUUUUGCUGAGGAGUAUACGGAGUUGUUAGCUGAUGAUGAAUGCCUGCCUCCUCACAAAAAACGUUGAAGGCAUUGGAAGUGUAUUCCUUGCCAUUGUCUGAUCUGAGGGCUUGAAUUUUGCAGCCACUUUCAUUUUCAACUUUGGCCUUGAAAUUCCAGAACACCUGUGCUACCUCUGACUUGUGCUUCAAGAAGAAAAUCCAGCACAUUCGGCUGUAAUCGUCAAUGAAGACAGCAUAAUACAGACUCCCAUUUAGAGAGAGUGUCCUUUGUGGUCCUGCAAUGUCAGUAUGAAUCAAUUGCAGCUUCCUUGUUGCUCUCCAUGUGGCUUCUGGAAAGGGCUUCCUGUUUAGCUUGCCAGUGUGACAAGUUCUGCAGCUGGAUAUGUGAUCAUCAAGUGCUGGGAAAUCCUUAGCCAUCAUCUUGGAUUUCAUAAGCAUCAGCCCUCUAUGAUGAUAGUGCCCGAGCCUCUUGUGCCAAAUAUCUGUGAUAUUUUCUUUAAUUGGGAAAGCAGUAUGCUCCUCCUCCAAUGGAUUUAGAGCAAAACUCUUCCCUUUCAUGAUUAUUUUGAAAAUAUCAUGACCAUUCACAUCUUUGAUCAAGCAGCAAUUGUUUUCAAACACUACUUUAUAACCCUUCUCAAUAAGCUGACCAACACUGAAUAAAUUUUGAUUUAUACCAGGGACAUACAAUACAUCAGAGAUGAACUUAGUACCUGAGCAAGUCAAGAUUGCCACGGUUCCCUUUCCUUCAACAACAAGGUAUUCUCCAUUUCCAAUUCGAACCUUUGAAGUUGUUUGUUUCAGCUCCUUGAAUAUGUUUCUGUCAUGUGUCAUGUGGUUGGUGCAACCACUAUCAAUGAGCCAGCUUUCACUUGAGUCAUUUCUGGAAAUGCAAGUGGCCACAAACAAUUGAUCUUCUUCUUCUUGAUCAGCAAUUUGAGCUUCUUCACCAUGCUGUUGAAUUUUGUUUUUGCAGAUGACAGCCUCGUGCCCCAUUUGAUUGCAUUUGUUGCACUUAGCUUCUGGUCUUCUCCAACACUUAAAAUGUGGAUGUGAUCUCCUUUUACAAUGCUGGCAUGGAGGAAAAGGUCCUUUUUUGUUUCCAGUGUUGCUCCUUGUUGAAAUUCCUGGAAUCACCUGAUGAUGCUUGACUGCUUCCAUUCUUCUUGUAAUUCUUUCCUUUUUCUCUAUGCUUGACGAAUAGAGCUCCUUCAAUCUCAUCUUCCUGUCUCAUGAUCCUCCUUUGCUCCUGAGCUUGUAAUGCAUUUAGCAUUUCUGUCAAAGUAAUUUUUGACAUAUCCUUGGUAUUUUCCAAGGAUGUAAUUGUAGCUUCAAAGAUUUCAGGAAUUGUUACAAGAAUUUUUUGAACAAUUCUUGACUCAGGCAGGGACGAGCCAAGUAAACUGAUUCGGCUUGCAAUAUUAAGCAGCCUGUCAGAGUACUCUUUGAUGGAUUCAGUCUUCUUCAUCUUCUGCAACUCGAAAUCACGCAUCAAGUUCAACACUUGCAUACCUUGAAUUCUUUCAUCCCCUUCAUACUCAGUCUUGAGAAACUCCCAUAUCUCCUUUGCUGUUUUCAGAGACAUGAUUCGAGUGAAAAUGGUGGAUGCUACUACAGCAAACAAGCACGCCUUUGCCUUUGAUUUUUUUGUCUUCUUCUCCUUCUGUGAUUUGAUCUGCACCAUGGUGGGAUUGUUUGGAAGUGCAGGGAUUUCAUAAUCUUCUUCCACUGCCUCCCACAAAUCCAAAGCCUCUAAGUAUGUCUCUAUCCGUACUGCCCAAAACUGGUAAUUGUCACCAUUGAACACUGGUGGAGCAAUUGAUGAGAAGCUUACUUCUGUCUCCAUGGGUUACAACACAGAUCCCUUUAAAUCAAGAUGCUCUGAUACCAAUUGUCGUUGUUGCAGUGAUUCUGAACAACAAAAAUAACAAAGGAUAAUGCUUGUGUUUAAGAAGAGAUUGAUGAAUGAAAAGCUUAAAUACUUUAUUCAUAACUGCAGCUCAAUUUAUAGAGCUGAUACAUAACAAACUCCUACGAUCAUGGUCCUACAUUCAAGCCAUGAUCAAUUGAUAAUGGAAAUAACAGAGCUGCGAAAUAGCAGCAAGAACAAGAGAAUAGGAACAGAAUUGACUAAAUCAAAAAUUAAAGAAAGAAUAAAAUUCCAGCUCAGCAGUCCUGAACAGUAUUUCUAAUUUCUGCUGGAUAUCCAAUAAAAAAUACCUCAUAGUGUGAACAUCUUUAAGAAGGAGGAUAUCACAUUGCACCCCAUCAACUGAUCCACAAAUAAAUUUGCAUCUUUCCAUCAGUUCCAAGCUACUUUGUAAGGAAAAGGGAGGGAAGUGCCUUCAAAGAUACCUUCUUCAUAGCUUCUUUAGAUAUGAAUCCACACGGCUUUCGUAAUCACCAAUCACUAUGCACAGCUUCUCUUAUCAUCACAAGCUCCAUCUCUUUCCACGUCCUAACUUCAUUCGAUGAACUCUUCCCUCAGUUCCCAAGAAAAAUUAUAUUCUUCCCUCCUGCAGCCCUUUCCCUGUAUAUUUCCACCAGCUUCAUAGCUAUAUGGCCUGUGAAAACGACUCCCAAAUUAAAACACUUGAGAAGCUCUAAUAGUUUUCUUAUUAUUUCUUCACUCUUUGUCAGUGUGCCACAUUCAAAUACUACUGAUCGAUUCUUCCUCGUCACAACCACUCACUUUCCCCUAAAUCCCAUACCAACUAAAUCAAUAUCUCUUAUCACUUAUCAAAACUCCAUCUAAUUUCCAAAUGAAUCACACCAUUUGAACACUUUGCCAAUUCCUAAUUCCUUCAAAAUUUUCAUCCAUCAAAAAAAAAACUGCAAGUCAUACUUUUUCACUCUAACACAGUUCUCCUUAUAAUCAAUCUUCCAAUUUAACCAUACUCUUGCCUCUAAAUCUGGCACGCAAAGCUUCUACAUAACCUUCCAACGUUACUUCUUGCCUCCCAACAAGGGUGGAGGCAUGCAUGGGCUAGGGUGGGCUCUAGCUCAGGUGAAGAUUUUAUUAAUAUUUUUGUUCUAGUUUUAUGUAAAGAAAAUUUGUAAUUCUCAAUUUACGUGGAGCCUUCUAAUAUGAUGCUUUAACUUGAGUUAAAAUUUUAUAAUUUUUGAAGAAAUUCAGAAAUUUGAUAAAAAACAAAAUCAUAAUUUGACCAAUUUUAUGUUAUUGGGUGUAAUUUUCAAUCUGACCAUCAGAUUGAGCUAAAAUUUUACAAGGAAUCUUAAAAUAUAUUAAAUAAAAUCUGGUUUAAAUUUUAAAAUGAACAGAGUUUGGUAGUGCUAACAAAAAAAACAUCAAAUAAAAGCAAAAUGACUCAUUAAGGGUAAAAUUGUUAUUUGCCAUAAAAAAAAAUCAGUUCUUCCUUCCUUUAUAUGUUGCUGACUGGGCAGAAACAAAAUAGAAAAUGAAAGAAAAGAAAAGGCGAGAGAAAAAGAGAGAAAAGUAAGGGAAAAACAUAAAAAAAAUCCUAGAAAAAAAGAUAAGAAAAGUGAGAAAAUAACCUUAUAAACUUAUAAAGUCCAACUUAUAAAAUAUUAAUCUAAGGAAGAAGCAAGUGAAGGAAGGAGGAAUUGAGAGAGGGAAAAAAUUUAAUUAUUUUAUUUUUCAGUUGACAUGAGAUUGUUAUUUUAUCCCGGUUAAGGGAUUGUUAUAAUAUCAAUUCAAAUUCGAUUAUAGAUGAAUUAUAUUUCACAAAACAUCGAAAGAUGUAACUUUAAUAGUGAGUUUAUUUUUACUUUCACUUUAAUUUUAUAUAUUUUUAAAUUUAUUUUUUAAUAUUUUAGGUAAUGUAUUUGAAUUAAAACUUUACUAUUAACUUUAAAAACUCAUGUACAUUAAUUAAUAAUUUAUCUUAAAAAAAAUAUUAUAUAUUUAUUUAAUAGUGCAGGACAGAAAAAAAAUCUAGCAAAAUUUAUUCUUUCCAACUUUAUUUGUUUUGACUGAAAAAUAAUCUUUUAUUUUUGUACUUCACAGGCAUGUGGUGGCAAAAGUCGAGCACGAUAUAUAUAUAUAUAUAUAUAUAUUUCUUAAGAUACAUAUGGCUGGUGAUUGGCGGAUGAUGGUGUCAUUAAGACUCUUGGUGUGUACCCUCAUCCUUUCUGUUUAUAGUUUAGUCCAUUUGCAGCUUUAAUGGCUACUAUCAGUUGCUUUGGAACCUGAUAUCACUAGUCUCAUUAUGGUACAGACAAGCUCAGGAUGAUCAAUCCUUGAGAAUCCACAUCCAACCAGAAAUAAACCGAAUUUCGAGCAUAAAUGACUCGAACUCGCUGGAAUGCUUUGGCACCUCCUUCAAUCCUAGUUUGGGAAACAGAAACACUAUCACCGUUAGUUUUCACCGAGGAAGACAGCACCCCCAUUCUCUCCUGCUGUGCUGAUGAUGGGGCAUGAGAGAUAGUCCAAAGGAUUUGCCUCACGUUGAAGUAUGCAACUGUCUAUGGUUAGCCUUCUCUUUUGUGAUGCAAGCAGCAACCAAGCUCUGCCUUCACUGCAUAAAGAAAUGAUUGAUUCACGAAGCCUGACUUCUUUGAAUUUGAAAGAUUAGAAUCAUUGGAAGAGAAAGAAGAAAAGGUGUAAAUGACAGCGGAAUGCUAUUAUACCAUCUGCCAAGGUAAUGCCAAGUCUACUUGCGAGGUAUUUAUAUCAUAAUUUUUAAAUAUUAGAUUGUCAGCGCAUACCAAGCAAAGAGCUUCGAUUCACAACGAAAUGAAUCCGUGCUAUGGGUUAUCAUCUGAUAUCAUCAUUCAUCAACAAUUAAUCGAAUGGGUUUAUACAUGAAAUGUUUUUAGUUUCUUAAUCAAUAAUUGAAGUUUUUAAUUGGAAGUCAAAUUAUUCUUAGAGAAUAAUAUAAUUAAACUAAACCUUGGUUAAUUGAUUGCUAGCAAAGGUGUACAUUUACAUGGCUUGAAAAUGAAGCUUAUCUUCCAUUUAAUUUUAUCAAAUAAAUUAUUUAUAGAGUAGUUUUGAGUGAUAUAAAUCAAAUAGGAAUUAAAUCAUGUUAAAACAUUUAAUUUUGUUGUCCCUUUAUAUUACAAACAGCAACAUUACGUAUCAUGUUUAUAAAUUCCAAACCACUCAUUUGAAACUAACGCUUUGUAUUUUUUUUAUAAAAUAAAAUAAAUCCUAACACUGAUGUGGACUAAAAUGUUUUUCAUAUAAAAUAUGAGGAUCAAAAAACUUUCAUGAACAUUUAAAAUAUGAUGUGGACUAACAUUUUUUUUUUGUUAAAAUUAGUUCGGUUUGUACUUUCUAGAUCGUUUUGAUGUGCUGAUAUCAAAAAUAAUUUUUAAAAAAUAAAAAAAACAUUAUUGGCAUACUUUUCGGCACGAAAAGCUAUUUGAAAAACAACAACUACCACACUUCCAAACACCCUCACUUAGUAUAAAAAAGAAAUCAUCACGUCGUUAUUUUCCACUCAGUAUAAAAAAGAAAUCACACGCCUUAGAGGAUAAAUAAGCAAUGCGAAAGUUAAAUAAAUUUAUGAAUUACCAGCAUAAUUCACACUAAUUCCCCUCUCUAACUUGCACCUCAUCAAUUUUUAUUCCUUUACUCUCGAACGAAAAUAAUAAUAUUUAAGUUAUUAAACCCAACUCGAAUUAUAAUUCAAGUAGGGGGUUAACAUAAAUCAAUACAAAGUGAUAUGACUUUAGGAGUUUUUUCAAAAAAACAAAUUAAAAUGAUGUGAACUUUUUUAAAUUAAAUUGAGUUUUAAUUGAUCAAAUAAGUUGGAUUACACCAGGUCAAAUUCUAUCCGAUUUAAUUUAAAAUUCAAUCUAAACUCUUAACUUACCUUCAGUCGGGUUUAAUAACAUAUUGACGUAACUUUAGACAAGUUAAGACAUGUUAUUUGUAUAAUCAGACCAAAUUCUCAAUCUUUAUUUAUCAUAAUAACGAUCCAACCCAUUAAUUUUAAAUGGGCCUAUAAAAACUCUAACUUGCCAUAAAAUCAGCAAUUUUACAUCCUAUUUUAUAAAAGACACUCCAACAUAAUUAAUUAAAAUAGUAUUUGAUAUUGUGGUAAUAAUUAUUUUUUAAAGUAUUUUUUAUUUAAAAAUAUAUUUAAAUAAUUUUUAAUUUUUUAAUUUUAAAAAUUAAUAUUUGACAUUACAUAUUAAAACAAUCUAAAAACAUAAUUUUUAAAAAAAGUUAUUAUUAUUUAAGAAAAACUGUAUCACCAUACAAACAAAUCCAAAAACACAAUUUUUUUAAAACAAUUAUUAUUCUUUUAAAAAAAAUUGUAUCACCAUAAAAACAAAUAAUUUCUAAGAGUGACAGUGAGCAACAGAAAUAAACCAUGGCAGAAACUAAAAAUACCUUUAACGGAAACUGUGCUUCGAUUCACAACGUUUUCAUCCUUGACCAAUGCUUGACAGAGUAGACGACGGGUCAGAACAGAGCUACCAGUCCUGCAUUUCUCGAAGGAUAGUUUUGGAAAUGCUCUAAGACCGUGGCCAUUAUGCUGUGUAUGUUUGAUAAUGCAGUGAAUAUAAUUUUAUAAAAAUAUUUUUCAAUUAAUAAAAUAUUUCUUAAAGAAAUUUUCAAUAAUUUUGUUAAGAAAUUUGCGUGGCCAGACAUUUUAAAGAAUGAUGCUAAAUUUGGGGUUACAUAGGCAGCUGCUGGCUCCUCUUGUAUCUUUUGGGUUAAAGGCAUCGUUUGUUUCCUGCCGUUGUCUAUUCUCCGGUCGUAGAAGCUGACUGCAAUCCUCCGACUCUGUUCUCAUAGUCAGAUGCUUCCUCUGUUUUCUCCUGGCAUUAAAAUUACAGCUCACCCUCAAAUCUUAUUGCCUCUGGUCAUUUUCUUGAAUGGUGCUUGGUGUUGUCUUCUAGCGUUUGCAGUAUCGUAAUUUGCUGGAGUUUUUGUAGUAUUUGAAUUGUGGGUGAUUGAGCUGCAGAAUUUGUGCAAUUGAAUUGAAUUUGUGCUAUGGGUUAUCACGCGAUAUCAUCAUUCAUCAACAAUUAAUUGAAUGGGUUUCUACAUUAAAUAUUUUUAGUUUCUUAAUCAAUAAUUGAAGUUUUUAAUUGGAAGUGAAAUUAUUCUUAGAGAAUAAUAUAAUUAAACUAAAUCUUGGUUAAUUGAUUGCUAGCAAAGGUGUAAAUUUACAUGGCUUGAAAAUGAAGCUUCUCUUCCACUUAAUUUUAUCAAAUAAUAUAAUUUUGAAAUAAAUUAUUUAUAGUAGUUUUGAGUGAUAUAAAUCAAAUAGGAAUUAAAACAUGUUAAAACAUUUAAUUUUGUUAUACCUAGGUCCCUUUAUAUUACUAACAACAAUAUUAUGUAUCGUGUUUAUAAAUUCCAAACCACUCAUUUGAAACUAAAGCUGUGUAUGCUUUUUAUAAAAUAAAAUAAAUCCUAACCUUCAUAUGAGGAUUAAAAAACAUUCAUGAAAAUAUAUGAAAAGCUAUUUUUGUCUCUAUGGGCUAGGUACGAUGUAUUCAGGUAUGGAUAUGGGUCUGGGCUUAGGAUGAUAGAUAUGGGUCCAGUAGGAGCACGAUAUUUUUUAAUGGUAAGGAAUGAGCUAUGCCUACCAGGCUGGUUACUCGGUCCAUUCACCUCUCUACCUGAGGCUUGUAUAGUUUAUUGAAAAAAACAAACUUAUAUCGUUUCUUUUAGAAUUCAUUUCUUUAUAAAGCAUGACAAUGUAACCAAAUUUGCAUUAUCUAUAUAAAAUAAAAGAAAAUAUAUAUUUUCACAAAUUCUACCAUAUUGCUCGACCAAAAUAUUUAUUUUUUGUUUCUAUACAUAUUAUAAUUAGUUACAAAUAUAACACCCAAUUUAAUAAAAUCAUAUGAGCAAAAUUCCAGGACUUUCCAUGGACAAAACCCAAUUUAAUAUAUAUAUAUAUAUAUAUAUAUAUAUAUAUAUUUCUCUACAUAUUCAAUAUAUUCAUCUAAAUGUAUUUAUCUGAAUGCUAUAUUAUCUUAUAAUUUAACUGGGACCAAAGAUAAAUGAUAACAUUUAUUUAAAUGCUAUUUAUGAUUGACACACAAAACCCUGUUUUCAUAGUUAAUUGAAGGAUAAUAAAUGGAAGAAUGACAAAUUGCCAGGUGGAAAGUUAUACCUCAUCACAACAAAUACUUUCCAGCCAAUUAAUUAAUGGCGGUUACAACUAAUUACAACAAAUACUCUUCACUUCUUCUCUAUAGUUAUGUUAAUGGUAAGAAAAGGUUGGAUAUUAGAAUUUUGAAAAAUAAAAUAAAAGAUAAGUGAUGUUCAGAUUAGAACUUGAUAUUUGAUAUAAAAUAUAUAUUUUUUAAUUAAACUUUAAUAACAAGUCAUAAAUCAACUCAAAAAUAGUAAAUAUUGUAAAAAAAAAAUGGUAAUAUUAUACACAAAAAAAGAGACUCAUGAAAUGACAUAAAAAAUAGAAUUUUUGUAUAUUUUUAUCUAUUCAUGAACUUGAACAUGAUUUAUAUUUAUAUAAUCAUACAUUUUAAUUGGAAAAUAAUCAAUAAAGGAAGAAAGAAUCGACUUUAAACAAAUAAAAAGAAAAUAGAAGAUGAAAUAUAAAUCACGUAAGAAUUAAGUCUUCUCGAAGACUAGCUUAAGAGUAAGAAAGAGGCAAAAUCUAUAGGAAUUUAAUUAAUAAAUGUUUCAUGCGUGUUGUUUCGAAUUGUAUAAAUAUAAAGAAAAUACAUUUAUACAUAUUAUAUUAUAAUGAAUAUAUUUUUCUGUGCAAAAUUGUUAUUAUUUUUUCAAAUCAAACCCCCGGUUUGAGUAUUGAGCAUAAAAAGAAUUUGGAUUGUUGAAUCAUUUAAACAAUUAGUGGAUCGCCAAUGAAUCAUUUUAUUAAAAUGAUAUUUUGCUUUUUUAUAAAAAAAUUUAUUAAUAUUGAUUUAACUAAGUUUGUAUCAGAUUUUACCAAAUCAAAUAAAUCAUUACAAAUUCAAUUGAGUAAUUAAGAUUUUAUCUUAUCAAUGUUUUUUUCUAAUUCAAUUUUAAACCUGGUUAAUGCCAGGAUCUGGAGGAUGUGCUUCCUAUAUCAAAUCACCAUGCAGGGAAGAGUUUAAACAUUUUUCAUUUUUCCUAUAUCAAAAAAUUACAUUUCUUAGCAAAACACACGAGUUAUAUAUAUAUAUUUAAACAAAUUACAAAUAAUCUAAUCAAUUGAUUAAAGUUGUGACACCUUAUAGUACGUAGACGACUAUAUAAUACUAUAAGAUAUUUAACAAUAUUUAUUUUUAUGAAGAGUAAUAUGUUGCUUGUCUAUGUAAUUUCUCUUUUAAAUUGGGUUUAAUUUCAAAAUCAACGUGUAACUUUGUACGUAGGGGCAUGUCAUGGGCAGUGUUGGACCAAAUUCUCAAUCUUUAUUCAUAGAGGUGGAUCAUGAUCGAGAUUCGAGCCUAUUAAUUUUAAAUGGAUCUACAAAACCUCUAUUCGGCCAUAAAAAAUAAAAUCUCAGGUGCCCAUCAAUGAUAGGAUCUAUUUUGUAAAAGACAUUUCAACAGUAUUAAAAUAAUGUUUAGUAACGUGAUAUCUGAUAUUUUUAAAAAUAUUUUUUUAUUUAAAUUAUAUAUUUUUAAAAUUUAUAUUUAAUAUUAUUAUAUUAAAAUAAUAUAAAAAUAUAAAAAUAUAUUUUUAAAAAAAAUCUUGGUGUCAAAGUGAGUGAAUAAAAAAAAUAAAUCAUGGCAGAAACCACGAACACCUUUAACAGCAAUGUCGUUUCAGUUUGACAGAGUUGUGUUAAAAAAAAAAUUCCUUCAAUUUGUAUUGACUUUUUAAUGUUUUAAGUUUACAGUGCUCCUAUAUAUAAACAGAGAAGAUGUUCUUAAAAACUAUGGAUUCCUGCUAUAAACAGGACUUAUACAAAUGUGGAAUAAAUCAAUUACUAAACUAUGGAAUAGGACUUAUACAACUGUGGGAUAAAUCAAUUACCAAACUUUUUCUUACAAACUCUCAACUAAAUCACUUUGUAAUUAUACUAACACUUUGAGUCAAGUUAGUGCAAAGAUAUCUUACCCAACUUGUCAAGGGAGCUCUGAAAGUUUUUGCUGAAGACAACUUUUGUAAAGAUAUUCGUGAGCUGAUUCUUUGAUUUGACAAAUGAAAAGUUAAUCACUUAUUAUUUAAGAUUUUGUUUAAUAAAAUGUUUGUCUAUUUCAAUAUGUUUCGUGUGAUCAUGUUAAAUUGGGUUAUAAAAUAUUUUAAUGGCAGCUUAAUUAUCACAGUAUAGGUUCGUUCUUGAUUUGGGAGCAAAACCAAUUUCUGAUAAUAAUCUUCUGAGCUAAAGCAGUUUACGUAGUCCUUUUACCGUCCCUUGAAACUCAACCUCUGUGCUUGACAAGGUAGCUACUUUUUAUUUCUUGCUUCUCCAUGUGACUAAAUUGCCACCAAUAAACGUGAAGUAUGCUCAUUAAUCUCAUGCAUAUUUUGAUUAUUUUGUUGAAUAUUUUAAUCAGGUUUAUGAUAUGGAUUCUUAUAAUAAAAUUUUCAUUUAAUUUUUUUAUUUUCAUGGGGGGUUUUAAUGUAGGGAACAUAGGAAGUGUAAAGGUGGCAACUUUUUUGCUUUAUUUUAUACCGUAUUUAAAGCCAGUGCCUUUGAGGUUUUAUGGCAGCCCAUCAACAAUAUUCUUAGUAGGAUCUUAUCAUUUAUGGUACUAGCCUGUUGGGCCUCCCUUUUCAUUAUUUUAAGCGUAGUUGCCACCCAUCUUUCUGUGGCUCCAUGUUCAUUCUCCAAACCAUUCAUAUAGGUAUCUUAAAUAGUGUAGCUGGAGCUUUACUGGGUAUGCUUUUUAAUAUAUUUUUAAGUAAAAUAUAUUUUUAAAAAUAUUUAAAAAACAAACAUUACUGUACUUUCAAAAACAUAAUCCUCUUGUAUCUGACGCUUUAAAUUCCAACAAUGAGUUACUGAUUAGAUAAUAUCUACAUUCAAUUAAAAAUAUAAUUUCUUGACAGCGAAAUAAAGAAAAAAGUAGCAACCCUGUAAUAUCUAGGUAAUUUCUAUGCUCUUUAAAUUAGGCCUCUAAACUGAGACUGUAAUGAGCCCAUGACAGAGGAAGACAUGAAAGUGUAAUUUCAGAAGACCAUUAUUCAUAUAACAAAUUUAGUAAAUUUAGUAAACUCGUAAAGUUAAACCGAUUUUACUAAUUCUGUACUAGUUAGAUUUGAUUUUAUUAAUUUUAAAUUUUUAGUUAGAUUUAGUAUGUUAAAUAUAUAUUAACUUAAAUUUUACUAAUAACUCAUAAUUUUAACAACCUUGCUUGUAAUAGCUCUUGUGGUGGUUGAUGUUUAAAAAAGAUAAUUGAGAAAUUAUUUUCACUCGUGACUUUUUUGAUUUAAAUAAGUAUUGAAUUAAAAAUAUUUAAUUAAAAUUAUUGUUUUAAUUUAAUUACCACAAAAGAUACUGGUGAAGGUGGAGAGGAUGCAAAAGAUGAUUGGGUAUCCUAUUAAUCGUCAAAACAUCAACUAUUGUGGUCAAUUCUGCUGACUGCUGAGACUAAAAGCCAACCACUUGAAUAAUGGGCAUUAGCUGUUUAGCACUCCUUGGUAAACACUUCAGGCUCCUUUCCCGCCCCUUUCCUCGCUGGUUCCUUAAUAGCUUCAAGGGGUGCGAGCGCCUCGUUCGAGGAUUGAGCAUAAAGGACUAAAAGAGUUCAAUAAAUACUAAAAGACAUAAAGUGAAGUUUUUAUAAUAUUCAUAGCAAUGGUCAUCAGCUAAUUUAUAAUUUAUUUAUCUACUUUAUCAAUGAAAUAAAAGUGAUAAAAGAAAAGGAGAGAAGAAAUAAAGUGAAGUCUUCUUCUGCAUUAUUAGCACAUCACGUGAAAAUAAAGAAUGGCAUAUAAUAAAAGUUAUUCCAAUCAAACCUCCUUUUUCAACCGAUGGGGUCUCUUGUCAAAUAAAGCAAGGACAGACCGAGUAAGAUGUGGGACCUAACUGCACUUUCCUGGCACGCGUAGUUCACGCAUACACAAGCACAUUCAGAAUAGUAUUCAAUUUAAAAACACAAAAAAAAAAUAAAGGAAUAAAAGAAGGAAAAGUGAUCAAAGAAGAAGAGAGAAGAAAUAAAGUGAAGUCUUCUUCUGCAUUAUUAGCACAUCACGUGAAAAGAAAGAUACAAACAAGAUUACUCCAUUUUCCAGUCACUUUUUCAACCGAUGGGGCUUCUUGGCAAAUAAAGCAAGGACAGACCGAGUUGAUGCGCUACGUAACUCCUUUUUCCUGGCCCGCGCAAUUCACGCAUACACAAACACAUCCAGAAUAAUAUUCAUAAAAUUAAUUAACAUCCCGUAAAAAUAUACUUUAAUUUAGAAAAGAUUUUAAAAUGUUAUUUUUCAAAUUAAUAAUAACAAAAUUUUAUAUUAAAUUGGUUCGCUUAAGUUAACCUAUUAGAUUUAUAAUUCAGGUUAUGAAAUUAUAAUACCUAGUUCACAAAUAACCAAAUAUGGUGAAGUUUUUCCAAUCAAACCCUUUUUUUUUUUUAAGAUGUAAUUUCUAGAAAAAUAAAUCAAAGACAAACAGAGUAAAAUUUCAAAAAAUAGAGAAAGAUGGAAAAUCCCACCAAUAUUUAACCCACUUAAAUUGAGUCCAAAUCAUAAAAGCAUCUACAAAGAGUGUGUUAAAUGAAAAGUUAAAAAUUAAAAAAUAUAUAAUUUUGACUCUUUCAUGUUUAUUUUACACACUUCAAAAAAAUAUUAAAUAAAAUAUUAAAAUAUUUUUUUUUCUUAUAAAUACUAUUUCUAAAUAUCUAUCAAAAAAACCAAUACUAAAAAAAUAGAGUCAUCAAAAAAUAAACCAAUUAAAUAUAAUUAUAUGAAAAAAUAUAUUUUAAAUAGUGCAGCCUGAGCUUAAUGGUUAAAAUAAUUUUAUAUUUUUUAUAAUUGUUAACAUCAACACAUUAAAAUCAUUAAAAAUAUUAAAAAAUCAAUAAUUUAAUAUAUUUUUAAAUAAAAUAUAUUUUUUAAAAAAACAUAUAAAUUACUACUAUUAUUUCAAACACACAAUCCUAUUCCAUCUUAAAAUCUGAGCUAUUAGGAUAGUAAAGUUAAUUCGUUAAAUUUACAAUUGUGGUGGUGGGAUAUUAAAAAAAAUCUUAUAUUAAAAUUAAAAAUUUUAAAAAUUCUUGAAUAAAAAAACAACAAAACAAUUAUUCAGGUAAUUGUAUAAAAUAUAAUAAUAUAAUGUAUAAUUUAUAAUUGAUUUAUUUACCUUAUCAGUCUUCUGCUGCAUGAUCACAUCACGUGAAAAGCUUGGCAUUUAGUGAUGUUUUUCCAAUCAAACCUCCUUUUUUCAAAGAUGGAAUCUCGAGGUAAAUAAAUCAAAGACAAAACCGAGUAAAAUGGAGUCCAGAGCAUAAAAGAAUCUCCAAUGAAGCUGCUAAAUGAAUAACUAAAAAUAAUAAUAAAAAAAAAAUUGUUUUUGUUUGUUUUUUAUAUUUCAAGAAGAAAAUCAAAUAAAUCGUUAAAAUAUUUUUUUUUCACAUAAAUAUUAUUUUUAUAUAUCUCUCAAAAAAAUCAAAAUUAAUAAAAUAAAACCAACAAAAAAAAGCCAAUUAAAUCUAGGUAUCUAGAAAAAAAUAACUUUAAAAUCAUUAAAAAAAAAAAAUGUUUAUUUAUUUCACUUUAUCUCGAAAAACAGUAACUUUAAAAUCAUUAAAAAAAAUAAAAUGUUUAUUUAUUUCACUUUAAUAGAAUUGGCUUUUCAAUGUAUUUUUUCUAUUGGAAUAUAUAUUGUAAAAAAAAUAUAUUUAUAUUAUUUAAAAUACUAUUUUAUUAGUUUAUUUUUUUAAAAUAAUAUUUUUUAUUAAAGAUACUCCAACAAGGGCCGAGAGAGCAAAGGCUUUUACGAGUUCUGUGUUCCGUAUACUUCUCAAGGGGAAAAAAAUAAUGUUUUGUUAGAGAUUUGUUUUUGAUAGAAUUGUUAGCGAUCUUAGCCGAUGCAUCUGGAUUAUAAUUUUUAGCAUUUAUACUAUUUUAUAGCGCUAAUAUCUUAAAAAAACUUAUUUUCUAGCUUUUUUUUCAUGGUAUAAUAAAAUAUUAAAAAAUAUUUUUCAACUCAUUAUCCUUAAUACAAUUAAAUUUCAUAGAAUAGUCUAUUUUUUAGAAAUAUAGUUUACUAUGAGAUUUAUUGGAUAAAAGAAAUUCACUUUGUAACAAUGCACUAGAAACUAAAAAAAAAUAAGCUAAUGAUCAUUUAAAAAUAUAGUAUAUUGGAAUCAUCUUGCUGAAUAGGUGAGUUUGGGAGUUUGGUUGCUUAACAGGCGAGUGAGGGUUAAAUGUAUCCAAUUAAAUAAUAUCUACAUUCAAUUAAAACUUAUGGUACAAUUACUUGACAGCAAAAUAAAGAAAAGCAGGAACCCUGUAAUAUCUAGGAAAUUUCUAUGCUCUUUGAAUUAGGUGCCCAAACUAAGGCUAUAAUGAGCCCUGAAUUUACACAGAAGAAAUUUCAUGGGAAAUGGGUUGAUGUCAGAGGCAGACACGGAAACGUAAUUUCAGAAGACUAUGACUCAAAUCAGUGGCUGAAAUCCAAUCACUCAAGGGAUGGUGACACGUUGUCUUGAGUGGGAGACAACUGGUCUUCAGUACAAAGAGAAACAACGUUUUUUUUUUAUUAUUAUUAUUAUUAUUAAAAGCGAGUGUACGAGUUACUUCCAUGUUUUUUAAUUAAUUUUAAAAUUAAUAAUUAUAUAAAUUUUUAAUAAUUAUAAAAAAGUUUAAAUUCAUGAAAAGAUUUGAAUUCAUAAUUAUUAAAAUACAAAUAUAUUUUCCUGAGUGUCUUUGCUCUCGUGACAGCUCACGAUGGUGGGGGGUUUAAAAAAAAAUUUAAAAAAUAUUUUUACUUGUGAUUUAUUUAAUUUAAAUAAGUAUUUAAUUAUAAUUAUAAUUAACGAUAUAUUGUAACUAAAAUUACUAUAAAAAAGAACAUAGUGAAGGUGGAGAGGAUGAGAAUAAUGAUUGGAUAUCUUAAUAAUUGUAAAAAGAAAGUAUUUUUUUAUGGUGAAGUUAUUUGUAUAUGAGAAAAGACUGAGUUUUGUAGCUCAGAAAAAAUAAACAUGUUGAUAUUGCUUUUUAAUAACCCAUGAAUGGACCGUAAAUUGCAACGGGUUCACAAACACAAACAUGUGCUUCACAUGUAACCAAACUUAUUGUUAUCUGCAUUAAAAGCAAAAGAUGCUAAAAACACACACAUUUGAUCGUUGAAGAUGUUUUUAAAUUGUUUUCUUAAUUAUUUUUCAUUUAAAAAAAUAUGAAUCAAAGAAGUUUAAUAAUUAUAAUUAUUAAAUAUUUUGAAAUAAAAUGAUCCAUCUAUAUUAAAAAAAAACAUCAUUCCCACGUGUGGAAGAUAAAAUUAAUCAACCUAAUCUUAUUGGAUUGCAUUUUAUUAAAUCAAACCAUCAGUAUCUUUAAUGCAGGAUAUUUUUGUUUUUCCAAUUCAAGUAUACUUUUUAAUAUAAUAAAUUUUUUUAACCUAUUUUUUUAUUAUUAUUUUAGUAUCAUUUUGUUAUUUCUAAUAGUUUGUGGUUACCAGUUUAGUCCUGAAUUCAUUAUUAGAACCAUCAAUUUUAAAAAUCAAUGUAAGUUGAUUUUUAUUAUUUUUUAUUUUUUAAAAUUAAUUUAUUAAAAAAAAAUUCCAUGAUUUCUUUUUAAGAGACUAACCCUUCAUCGACAAACACUAAUGUACCCUGAAAAACAUAAUCUUAUUACAUCUGACGCUUUAAAUUCCAACAAGGAGCACCUACACAUCGAAAUAAAGAAAAGUACUGAGUGCCUUGGCGGUGGGAGGAGCUCUGCUCCUGAGUUCGAGUGUUUACAUGUAUAUCUAUCAUUCUCGUGGUGUUUUAUAUAUCUAUUGGGUUUAUAAAGUAUUCAGUGGGAUUAGUUGUGGUGCGCGCAAACUGACCCGAACAUCCAAAUAAAUAAAUAAAUAAAGUAGAAACCCUGCAUGUGGGAAAUUUUUGUUAGGCCUCCAAUCUGAGGCUGUAACGAGCCCUGGAUCUACACACAAGAAAUUUCAUGGGAAAUGGGUUGAUGUCAUAGGGAGACAAGGAAGCGUACUUUCAAAAGACCAUGAGACAAAUCAACGGCUGAAAUCCAAUCACUCAAGGGAUGGUGACAUGUUACCAUGAGUGGGAGACUGCUAGUCUCCAUCUAAAUGUUUAAAGAUGACUGGGUAUCUUAGUAAUUGUAUAACAAUUGAUUUUUUUUGCUGAAGUUGUCGGUGUGGAUGAGAAAAUACUGAGUUUGUAGCUUAGUAAAAACAUGUUGAUGUUGAUGUUACUUUUUAUUAGCUCAUGGUUGGCCCGUAAAUUAUAAUGGGUCCCACAAUCACAAACCUAUGAUUCACAUGUAAUUUAUGUUUUACAACUUAUUUUUAAAAUUAUUUUUUAUAUAUAUUUUUAUACCAUUUUUAUUUUAAAAAUUUUAAGUUUAAAAAAUAUUAUUUUAAUAUAUUUUUAAAUAAAAAAUACUUAAAAAAAAAAUUAAUAUCAGACACAGUGAAUGUUUUAUAAAAUUUUACAAUCGCUUUUACAUUUUGUUUAGAUCACAUUUGAAAAUGCGGUACACUACAAUAAAGUCCGUUAUAUGAUUAAGGGUAUGUUUGGUAUUGCGGUUGCUGUUGUGAUUGUAAUUAUGGUUUUAAAAAAAAUUGUUUUAUAAAAAGUAAUUUUAGUUGAGGUUGGUUUGAAAAAAUAUAUGUUUGGUUAAAACUGUAGUUGAAAUUGAGGUUGAACAAAAAAUAGUUUAAUGUGUUUGGUUAAAAAAAUGUUUUUCAAAUUGAUGUUAUAAAAUCAUUAAUAUAUAUAUAUACUAAUAUUAAUUAUUUUUAAUUUAAAUAUUGUAGAUUUAACUACUGUUAUUACAUCAUGAAAUAAAUAAUAUUAAUAUCAAAUAUUUUUUAUUAUUAGAUUAAAAUAUAUGUAAUCUCAUUACAUAUGAAAUCUAUCAAACAAGGACUAUAUUUUUCAUGGUUUCUUAAGCGUGCAACAACAAAAACUGAUUUUUUAAAUUUAUAUAGUGUUAUUAAAUAAUAAAGAUUGUGAUAUAUUUAUUAUUGAAAUUGCGAUCAAAUUUCAUAAAUGCUACGUCAUCAUGCGAUAUCUUUCUAAUUUAUAUAGUGUUAUUAAAUAAUAUUAAAUACUAGUUUUUCGAGUAAAACAAUUUAAAAAAAUAUAUAUAAUUUCACUACGUACAAAAGUUAUUCGACAAAAACUACAGUUUUCAUGAUUUUUUGAGCAUGUAAUAAAAUUAGGUAAAAUAUUAUCACGAAUAAAAUUGAGAUUACAGUACGAGUAAAUUUAAUUCACCUUAAACUAAUUUUUUUAAAAAAAAUAUCGUUUACUAUUAACUGCACUGGUUUUUUAGGGGGGAAAAUAAACUUUGCUCACCGGUUUUUUUUUUUAAAAAAAUAAAUAAAUAAACUUUUCUUACAGAUUUUUUCUUUUUUUAAAAAAAGAAGACAUGGUGACAAUGGAGCCAUGCUCCACUGUUAAGUGGUUGUUACCCACGAGAAGCAGUAAAAAUAACGUGGACCCUAUCAAGCAAAAUCAAUCUUGCUUGAUUACCAAACAUUAAAAUAUGUGGCUGCGAGUAAACUCGCCACACUACCAAACAACAUCUAAAGUCUUUAAUUGUCUUGCAUUUAUCUUUAAAACUGCUAUAAGAAUUAAUUAAUUGUGUCAAUUCAAUUCUUUCGAUUGACAUUGAUGCCAAACAUGUUAAUUCAUGAUAUAAUUAAGCAAUUCAAUACAAAUUUACUAAUAUAAUUUAUUUCGGCUUAAACCUUUGAAUAAAGCAAAAUGCAGAGGUUGUGAAAGUGAAAUACCUUAAUAAUUUUUAUGCUUUACAACUCUAGGAGCCACACAAAAUAUAAUGCGUUUGUUACUAUUUAUUUGUUAAAAAGUAUUUUUUUUAUUAAAAAAUGAUUUUUUAAAAAAUAAAUUGAAAAAUAUUUUUUAAUAUUUGAUUAUUUUAUAUAAAACAAGCCAAAAAAUAUUUUUUUAAUUUUCUUCUCAAAUUUAUUAAAAGAAUAAGAAACAAAUAUUUCAAAUAAAAAUAUUGAAGGAAGAUGAAAUUAAAAAAUAUAUAUAUUUUUAUAAAUUAUUUUAAAUAAAAUAAAUAAUAAUUAGAAGAAUAAGAAACAAAUGAAAAAUUAAAAAAUUAAAAAAAAAUAAAACAGAAAUAAAUAAUAAUCAAAAUAAAAAAUUAAUACAAAAAUAAUAUUAAACCAAUAAUUUAAUUUAAAAAAAAACAAAAUAUAAUUUAUAAUUUAUAAUUUAUUUAUUUGCUUUAUCAAUGAAAAGUGAUGGUAGGAGGGAGAGAGAGAGGAAAUAAAGUGAAGUCUUCUGCUGCCUGAUCACAUCACGUGAAGAGCUUGGCAUUUAGUGAAGUUUUUCCGAUCAAACCCACUUUUUUCAAAGAUGGAAUUUAUUGGAAAAUAAAUGAAAGACAAACCGAGUAAAAUGGAGUCCAGAGCAUACAAGAGCCGAGAUUGAAACAGGAAAUGCAAGAAAAAGAAGAUGGGCCCUUGUUUUCUCUUUUUACGGCCGGCGACCGGAUAUAAAAAGGGAGGAGAUGAAGCUUUCAAAUUAUUUUCAAUUUUGCGGUCACUUAUUGUGUCCAUGUCAUUUUGUGUAAUUGCCCAGCUACCGGUACUAUUUUAACACUGUUAAAAGUCUAAAUCAUCAAUAUUUCCCCAAUUUAUCUCUAAAAAAAAUUCACUUCAAUUAAUAGCAUUUUUUUAUUAUUUCUUAUGUCAAUGUUUACCUCUUUUUGAUAAACUCGUAUAUUUUUGUACCAGAGGUCUAAAAUUAUUCUGUCCACUUAUUACUUAUUUAAAUUUAUUAGAAUGUUUUAAAUAACUUUUUUAAAUUUUAAUCCCAGAGUUUACAUGCAUAAUACAUGAGUUAUAUAAAUUAUGAUUCAAAAUAUUGUUAUAACUAAAUUAAAAGAAAAAUUCAGAGUUAAUUUCUUGAAUAUUAAGUUUUCUGAUUUUUCUAUAUAAUUAAUUUUUUAAGUUGAUUUGAUUAGUAUUAUUAUACUUUUCUCAUUCUCGAUAAAAGAAAAAAGAAAAAACCAGAAGAGUAUUUUCUUUCUAUUGAAAAUAUUUGUGGUUAGAAGAAAGUAAUUUUCACUGGAGUGUCGUUUUGGGAUGCAACAUGAACUUGACCUGUCUAAUUUGUACGGCAUGAGAAGAUGUUGCUUUACAUGGCUUCCUCCUUAAAAAAAUUCCAUCACAUUUGAGAAUUUUGUUAUAAAAAAGAUAUCUCUUUUAAAGAAGAAAAGUGAUACCUAAAAUUUAUAAAUGAUCUAAACUCUUAAUUUUUAAUCGAUGUAAAAUGUUAGAGUAUCAUGUUCCUGAAAAAAUCUUUCUAAGUGUAUAAUAUGUUGCAUUUGGGGCAAAAUUAAUAGUUUUGAAUGUUUUUAUUACUGAAACUUUUUUUUUUCUCAACCUCUUUUUCUCUCUCUUCUUGUCAAAUACAAAAGGUUUUUUUUUUAAUUUUUUAAAUAAUUUUAUUUUUAUUUAUUUUAUUUUUAUCUUUUGUAGAUUUGUUUUUUUAUUUAUUUUGUUUUUUAUCGUUUGAUUUUAUUUAUUUUUUUAUUAAACAUUAACUUUAUUUUUAUUUAUUAUUUUUUUAAUUAAACAUCCUUUUUAAUUUAUCUCUUAAUAUUUAAUUUUAAUAUCAAAUUUAAUUAGUCCUAUUUUAUCUUACACUUUAAAUUCCUACAAGUACCCGAUCAAACAAUAUCUGCAUUCAAUUAAAACUUAUGGUACAAUUACCUCAUAGCGAAAAAAAAAAAAAAGUAGAGACCAACUAAGAAAUUUAUGUGCUGUUCCCAGCUAUGUUGCUGACAUUGGACAAGAGAGACUUCUUCAGCCACCGAUAAAAUUAUUUUUGUUGACUUUUUGUGCAGUUUGUCACUUUGCUUCGAUCUUUCUCUCUUUGCACCACAAACACUUGGACAUGGUAGAUACCAAGCACGGUUUUGCUGUCAAUGUACGAUACCAUAUUUGACAAUAUCUUUUUUUUUCUUUUUUCUUUUUUAUGAAGAGUAGUAUGUUGGUUAUCUAUGUAUGUUUUUUAAAAAAUCACAUAUAUAUUUAUCUAAAAUUAUUGAUAUUUAAAAAAUUACAUUAUUUUUUUAAUAAUUCGUUCCGCUGUUCUUUUAGAAUUAAGCGAAUAUUAUGCAAAGCUUCAAGUUUUGUGUAAUUGUUUUUAAUACAAGAGAGUUUAACCAUUUUAAAAUGUUUAAUGAGUUAUUUAAAAUAUUGAAAGUAAUGUACAAUAACUAAUUUAUAAUUUUAUCAUUGCUCUUGCUUUAUUAUAGGUCAAGUCAAGAUUUUCUUAAAAAUAAAAAAUUAUUUAAAUUGUGAAUGUUUUAAUUUAUUCUGGUAAAACAAAUUUAAAUUGUGUGGUGAUUUAACUUGAUUGAAUUUGUAGUUUAAAAAACAAUCUAGAUAACCAGUAAAAAUAUAAUUUAACUCGUAAAAAAUUUCAAGAUUACAUAUAUUUUUUUAAUAUUAAGAUAACAACAAAUUAAUUGAUUUGGGUCAACUCAAUUUAACUUAUUAAAUUCAUAACCCGAGUUAUGAGAUUAUGAUAACCAUGUAGAAAAUAAAUUAUUAAGUCUAAUUCUCAACUACCAAAUAUUAAAAGAUAAAAUUAAAAUAAAUAAAUAAACCAUGUGGAGAUUGAUUCGAUGUGACUUAAUUGAUUUAGCUUGUUCAAAAACAACCCGGAUAAUCAGUAAAAAUAUAAUCUGACUUAGAAAAAAAUUCAAGAUGAUACUUUUUUUCCAAUACAAAGAUAAUAAAGUAAUAGAUUGAAUUGGGUUAACCAGAGUUAACUUGUUAAAUUUUUUAUCUGGGUAUAAGACUGUGAAAUCUAAUUCCUAUUCAACUAAAUAUUUAAUGGUAUAAUUGAAAAAUAAAAUCAAUUAAAAAAUGAUCUAAAAAUAUGAACAUAAUUAACAUGUCAAGUUCAUAACCUAUGUUAUAAUAAAGAUACAAUCUUAUAGAAAAAAAAAAUCAAAAUAAAUUAUGAAGUUCAAUCUUAAAUAACCAAAUUUUAAAAGAUAAAUUUUUUUAAAAAGAACGUAAAAAUGACCCGAGUAAAUCCACCAAACUCAUAACUCGUUAUGAGAUCGAGAUAAUCUUAUAUAAAAAAAAAUUACAUGAUUUAACUCGUCAAAUCUAUGACUUUGGUAACAAGACCAAGACAACCUCUUAAAGAGUAAAUAAAAAUAAAUUAAAAGUGCAAUCCCUAAUUGACCAUGUCAAACUCGAUGUGAAUGAUGCAAUUUCUAAAAAUUUAAAUUAAAAAAUAACAUAAAAAAUAAUUUAGACCAACCCGUCAAGCAUCAUUAUUAGAUUACGAGGCUAGGAUAACAUAAUAAAAAUAAAAUCAAAACAAACCACAAAGUCUAAAUUCUAAUAAAAUAUAUUAUUAAAUAAUAAAAUUGAAGAAAAAAAAUUAAUUAAAAGAAAUUCGAGUCAAUUAGGCUAACUUGCUAAGCCUGUGAGUUAGGUUAUAAAACAAAAAUAACCCAAUAAAAAGUAAUUUCACUAUUGAAGGACUCGUGAUCUACGUCAUGAAAUCAACAUAACCUCUUACAAACAAAAUAAAAAAAAAACAACUCAAUUUAAUUUGGAUUAAAAUGUCAAAACCUCCACCUCUAAUCAUAAAACUAGGAUAAUUAUAUAGAAAAUAAUUUGAAAUAGAUUAUGAAAUUCCAUUCCCAACUGACAUUAUAUCAAAUGAUAAAGUUAGAAAAAAAAUUCAAUUAAAAAAAUAUAAAAUAUAACCCGAGUCAAUUUAGGCUAAUAUGUUAAGUAUUAUUUCCAAUUUAUGAGGUUAGAAUAAUCUAAUACAAAACAAAUAAAACAAAAUAUGAAACUUAAUUUUUAAUUAAAAGAUAAAAUUGUAAAAAAAAUUUAAUUAAAAAAAAUCAAGUUAAGUGAGUGAAUCCAUUAAAUCUACAAUUUUUAUUAUAAAAGUGAGACAACUUAAUAAAAAUAAAUUAAUAUUAAAAUAAAAAACAUUCAAUAAAAAAAACACUCAUUCAGAUAAUUGUAUAAAACAUAAUAAUAUAAAGUAUAAUUUAUGAUUUAUUUAUUUAUUUUAGCAUUUAGUGAAGUCUUUCCAAUCAAACCCCUUUUUUUUUUUUAUAAUUUAUAAAAAAUAAAAAUAUUUUAUUUUAAUAAAUGUUUAAAUAAAAAACAAUAAGAGACAACCGUGACCACUUAAAUGGACUCCUAAGCACACCAAGUUAAGAGUUAAAGAGCCGAGAGAGAAAAAGCUUUUGCCAGUUCUUUACACAUUCUUUCCCCUUCUGUCACCUGAACAAAAUCCCCUCUUCUUCUUCUUGUUUGUUUACUCUUCCUUCGUUACUUUGCAAAGAGGAGAAACCAUGGCCGGGGCUUUAGUAGGAGGAGCUUUUCUUUCUUCUUUCCUUAAUGUUUUGUUCGACAGGAUGGCCUCUCCCCAGGUGAUUGCCUUCUUCAGAGGCCAAAAAGUCAACGAUAGUAGUCUGCUGCAGAACUUUGAAGAAAACAAUGACAUCUCUCAGGGUGGUGCUUGAAGAUGCUGAGGAGAAGCAGAUAACAAGUUUAACUGUGCGGGAUUGGCUGGUCGAUCUUAAAGACGCUGUCUAUAACGCCGACGACUUCUUGGAUGAGAUUGCUUAUGAAGCUCUACGGCAGGAGUUGGAAGCUGAAGAGCAAACCUUCACAGGUCAGACGCAGAAGCUUCUUUCUUUCAUUAACCCACUUGAAAUACUGGGGUCGAGAGAGAUCGAAGAAAAAAUAGAAGUCCUUUUGCAGGAUCUAGAUCCCUUAGUUGCAGGAAUGGCAGCCCUUGGUUUGAACAACCGCAAUGUAGAAAAUCCAUCAUCGCAUAGAACACCAACAACUUCUCUCGUGGAUGGAUCUGGUGUUUAUGGCAGAGAUGAUGACAGGGAAGCAAUACUGAAGUUGCUUCUAUCAAAGGAUGCAAAUGGAGGAAACCCUGGUGUCGUCCCCAUUAGGGGAAUGGGCGGGGUUGGUAAAACCACGCUUGCUCAGCUUGUAUACAAUCACAGAAGAGUACAGAAGCGGUUCGACCUCAAAGCUUGGGUUUGUGUUUCAGAAGAUUUCAGUGUUUUGAAGUUAACCAAGGCGAUCCUUGAGGGGUUCGGUUCAAAGCCUGCUUCUGAUAAUCUGGAUAAGCUCCAGCUUCAGUUGAAGGACAGAUUGGAGGGAAAGAGAUUCUUGCUUGUUUUAGAUGACGUUUGGAAUGAAGAUUAUGCUGAGUGGGACAAGUUGCUUACCCCCCUGAAGUACGGAGCACAAGGGAGUAAGAUUCUUGUCACAACACGCAAUGAAAGUGUAGCAUCAGUCAUGAGAACUGUUCCAACUCAUCAUCUAAAAGAAUUGACGGAAGACAGCUGCUGGUCCUUGUUUGCCAAACAUGCAUUUCGUGGUGAAAAUCCCAAUGCUCAUGAAGAGUUGCUAGAGAUUGGAAGAGAAAUAGUGAGAAAGUGUAAAGGCCUUCCUCUAGCUGCGAAAACACUCGGAGGUCUGCUACGCACCAAAAGAGAUGUCGAGGAGUGGGAGAAGAUAUUGGAAAGCAAUCUAUGGGAUUUACCCAAAGACAAUAUCCUCCCAGCUUUGAGAUUAAGUUAUCAUCAUCUCCCGUCACAUCUGAAGCAAUGUUUUGCUUAUUGUGCCAUAUUUCCAAAAGACCAUGAAUUUCAAAAGGAUGAAUUAGUGCUCUGUGGAUGGCAGAGGGCUUCUUAGUCCCUCUGCAGUAGAUGAUG